CUGAGGAAUAAAUCUUUCUAGACAUAUAUAGUUUCUAAUUUUAUUCCUUGUUAAUUGAUAUCAGUUAAUUCAAAAACUUCGGGUCUUGUGUGGUUUCAAGACAGUUGUGACCUUUGUGCACUAAGGGCCCGUUUGGGAGUGUGGUGAGGUAGCUGGGUUGUCAAAGCCCAGCUACUAAAGUGUUUGGUAACACUUAUACCUGGGUUUUGACAAUUUAGCAGAUUUGUUUUCCCAGCUGCAAGUUUAAUUACUAAAUUAGCCUUAUAUAUUAUUCCAUUUUAAUUUUAUCAAACAGUCGUGUCAGUGGGAGUUCUAUUUCAAAUCAAUUUUUUUAAACAAACCCUAAACACCCAUUCUCAUCAGCACGAUUCCGACUGUGGGAGUUCCAAUUGAUGCGAUUCCGACACUGGCCACUCUCAUACGCCUCUGUCAGUGGUGCGUUUUCCUCUACCCGUUGUUCAUUUUUUAGUGCUCCUUUACUCUAUUGCAAGCAAUUUUUCAUUUUCUUCCUUUUCGUUCAUAAAAUGUUGGGGCUUUUGUUUAGAAUAAAUUGAUGGGUGAUGGGUCAUGUGUGAUUUAUUUGCUUGUAACCAUUGUUUUUAUCGUAGUUUUUAUUUUUGUAGUUGCUUUUUGUAGACAUGCACAGCCCCUGUUUGAUUUGAGUUUCUAGUUCUACAAAACAUUAAAUAAUAAAAUGCAUGCCUACGUUAUGAAAUACUAUGCUUCAGUAAACAAAGGGAAGUUUGUCAAAUUCCAGAUUUCAAGUUGAUGUUUUGGCACAGUCAAAAGAAGGGGGAAAGUGUUGCAAUUGCAAUUGUAUAGGUCUUAUCCAAUUUCUUUGGGAUGGGCCAAAAGAAUAGUACAGGAAAUAUCAAAGCACGUAGCAAAUUUGAGAUUGUGAGGCUAAAUGCAAUUGCAGUUUGUACCUAAUGAUUGUUUAGUUGAAUUUCUUUGUUUCCUAGUCUGGUUUGUCUUUUGUUGCUUUAUUGACUUUCUUGUAAUUGUUUCUAUUCGUGGGCUAUGAUCAUUAUUGUUUGCUGGAAAAGUAUUUCAAGUAAACUAAGUGUUUGAUUAAAAGUAUUUCAAGUAAAGUAACAACUAAAGUAACUUGUUCUGGUUUGUCUUUUUUUUUUAAAUUUUUUUAAUAUCGAAUUAUUUUUCCUUCCACCAUCCAUAACAAGAUUCUAGUAAUUUUAUUAACUUCUAUGUUCUUAUUUUUCCUGUAUUGUUGUUUGACAAAGAAAUAUUUUUUUUUCCUAGGUUUAAGUGUAUGAAAUUAUGUCUAAUAGCUCAACUAGUAAGGCUACCUGGAACCCCCAGACUUUAGAUGUAUUUUGUGACUUAUGCAUUAAAGAGGUGGAUGCCGGACAUCGUCCUGGGACUCAUUUGACUACCCAAGGAUAUGAAAAUUUGAUUAAGGAGGUCAUUAGAGAAACUGGAUUAGAUUACAACAGAACUCAAAUGAAAAAUAAAUGGGAUUCUUUUAGAACUGAUUGGAAAUUGUGGAAGAAUUUGAUUGGUAAGGAAGCUGGUUUAGGGUGGAAUCAUAGGUUGAGGACAAUUGAUGCAAGUGAGGAAUGGUGGGAAAAGAAAAUAAAGGAAAAUCUGCAAUUCAGUAGAUUUCGGAAAAAUGGUAUUGAUCCAGAGUUGGAGAAAAAAAUAAAUUUAAUGUUCAUGAACACUGUGGCUACUGGUGAGCAUGUUUGGGUUCCCUCAUCUGGUUUUCCUUUAGAGAGUAAUGACGCAUCUGAAUCUCUUUGUGUUGAGAGUACUGCUGACUCUGAUGAGUAUAUUGUGUCUGAUGAUAGUAAGGGAAGCAAAGGUAAAAGAGUGGCCUUAAAAGGGAACAAAGUAGGAGGUGCUGUAAAACUGUCAAGGCAGCUUGAUCGUCUCAUUGAUGCAGUAGAGAAAAGGAACACAACUUCAAACUCUCAAAAUGAUACAAGUGGGAAAGAGAUUUAUAAAGCAUUGGAAGUGGUUGCUUCUUUACCAAACAUUGAGGCUGGGAGUAAAGUGUGGUUAUUUGCUAGUCAGUUGUUUACGGACAAAGUGAAAAGGGAUUUAUUUAAUGAGAUAGAAGAUCCAAAUGUCAAAUUGAAAUGGCUUAAUUAUGAGAAAAAUACAAAGUGAAAAUGUAUUGUAUUUAUGAAACAAUAUUUUGUAAAUUAUGUUUAUGAAUGAAUACUUUUUAUUUUGUCACUGAUUACACUUUAUAUUACAUUUACAAUGUAUAUGAAUUGUUGCUAUUGAUUUAUUUGCUUGAGGCUUAUUUAUGGAAAUAUUUCUGGACUAUUUGCUUGAGGAAAAAUAAUAGCAUUGAAAUUAUUAUUAGUAUAUCUUCCAUAAUUAUGUCUUAACUUCUCAGCAAGCUCUGGCUCUUGGCGUAUAAUUUCCUUCACAAAAUCCACAUGCCCAAGCAUACAUAAUUAAUUUAUCCUGUUGAAGCACAUGAGCCAUUCUUUGUGAUUAAUUAAUUACAACUUAAUUACUUAAUUAUUUCUCUUGCAUAUGUAAUUGGUUGACUUUAUUCUGGCUGUAAUAAAUACCAUGAGUUGUAAGAAUCAUUAACCUUCUUAUAGGCCUCAUAUAUGCAUGAUCGUAUAGAUAAUGCUAAUAAACGUUCUUCAAAUUAAGUUCAUUAAUUUCAUAUUUCUGUCUUAUAUUUAUGCUUCCAAAUGGAUAAUUUUCUUGAGAACUUUCAACAUACUCAAUUAUUUCUUGUCCAAUAUUAUUCUAACAACUAAGAAGAAUAAGAAUAAAGGGACCCUUUAUUUAUGCUUUCAACCAAGAAGAAUAAAGGGACCCUUUAUGAAAAAAAAAUAAAAUUCUAAGAGCUAUAAAUCUUAUAUUUGGAGCAUUUAUGAAAAUAAUAAUAAUAAUAUUUUCAAGGGUCCCUUUAUGAUGCCGUAAUUUUUUUACGGUAUCAGUAGUGUGGGAAAUAUAUACCGUUAGAUCUAAUCAACAGUACAUAUUAUUUAUAUUAAUGAAAUUUUUUAAUUAUUUGAAAAUUAUGUUAAUUGGUUAACAAACCUGUAAAAUAGGUAAUUUUAAAUUUAAAAUGAAAAAGAAACAGAGAUAUAGUCAAAUACAAUCUCUCUUUAUCUCUCACGUUCAUGUUUUUAUAAUUGGAUUCUUUAAGAUUAUCUCUGUCUCCUUAUGAUUAGAUGAAAGAGAUUCAAUAAAUUUCUCUUAAUAAAUAUUUCAGUAGUUUUAAUCGUAUUUUCAAAUUGGAAUUUUUUAAUAACGUAACAGCUGUAUUUUUAUUGUAUUGUCAAUUUAUUGCCUUGAGUAUUUGCUGCCAUGGUUUAAGAUCUGUCCUACGCUGCUUAAAAUCAUUCUAUAACGUGCCUAAAGGCACCAGGCGGUUUAGAGGCUCGUGUGGUUCACAGAUUACCAACCAUAGAGAAAAAGUAAAUGGGGAGAGAACCAUGAGGCAAGGUGCACUCACUACUAAAAAAAUGACCUUUACUGACACUUAGUUUCUGACACUUUAUAAAAAGUAUCAGUAAUUAUGUACAUAUGCACCAUUUUCCGCUUUUAACAAACAAGUAUUAUAAAUUAUUGAUACUAACGUGAUUAUGUGAUUAUGCUAUUACAGUGCUAAAAAGAAUGCAGGAUUAAUUAAUCCGCAAGGCAACUAGGCAAGUGGAUAUGUAUCUGUUUGAUGAUAGAUUAGUUUUGAGAAAUUCAUUUAUCUUAUUUAAAAGAUUUUCUUAUUUUUCUUAGUUGUUAGAAUAACAGUGGUCAAGAAAUAACUGAGUAUGUUGAAAAUUCUCAAGAAAAUUAUCCAUUUUGGAAGCAUAAAUAUAGGACAGAAAUAUGAAAUUAAUGAACUUAAUUUGAAGAAAGUUUAUUAGCAUUAUCUAUACGAUCAUCUAUGAGGCCUAUAAGAAGGUUAAUGAUUCUUACAAUUCAUGGUAUUUAUUACAGCCAAAAAAAAGUCAACUAAUUACGUAUGCAAGAGAAAUAAUUAAGUAAUUAAGUUGUAAUUAAUUAAUCACAAAGAAUGGCUUAUUUGCUUUUUAGAUUGAAGCCCUUGUUGGGAAGUUCAAUUCACUUUAUCACAUAUGAUCAAAACCACAGUUUCUAGUGUCGUUUUUUUGGGGUUUUGUUGAUUACACGGAAAGUAACUAAUUACUACAGCUAAAGCAUGCAAAACAAUAUUAGAAGCAAAAUGAUUUUUGGAUCUGAAGGGGCAAUUAUUUUUUUUUCAAGUUUGUUAUAUGUUCUUUUGUGAAGACCUGAAGAUUCGAGAGUCAGAUUAAUAAUUUUGUCUCUCUUAGGCUUUAUGCGGUGAGAAUGAACUUUCUCUCUUUUAAUUCUCUGUCAUUUUCUCAAUGAAGGCAACAAGAGAAAAUUCAAUCUUUAAAAGUCUCAACAUUCAGAAUUUGGCCAGUCUAGUUGUCUACUUUGCAUCUGCUGGAGUAUAAUAUCGCCAAGAGAUUUUUCCAUUGCACUUUACGAAUUUAUAUUACUUUGAGGAGGGAAUUCAGCUGACUACUAAUAUCUUACAAUUGAAAUUUAAAUGUCGGUCUUUAAAUUCUAAAAAUUAAAGGCAAGCCCCAUAUGAAAAUAUAGAUGUUAAAAUCUUCAUUUUUGUUUAUUGAUACUUUAUUUGUUAGUAUCAUUAUUUUAUAGAUAUACUUGAUGUUACACGAUUGACUAAAUAUUAACAUUAAAAUGCAUAUGGAAAGAAAAGAUGAUGGAGGGCCCCAUAAAAGCAUAAAAACAAACGGAGAGGGUGAAGCAAACUUUCAAAAUUGCAACCAUGAGAAUUAAAAUAGUUUAAGUAAGGUUUUUUUAAAAUCAUAAAUAAUGUACAAAAGAAAACUUAAUGAAGGAUUAUUUGAACCCAAAUUCUCAUUUGAACCAGUAUUAAAAAAAUUUAUUAUUAAAUUGUCUCUAACAUAAGAUACUGUUAUGGACUUAAUAAUGCGUAUUUCAUCUUGAAGUCAUCUCUAAAUUUGCUUAAUGUAUACAGAAAAAAAAAUUGUUUCAUAGUUAUUAAUUUUUCUUCAACUCCUCUAGUUGAAAACAGAUCAAACUGAGUUGUUAAAUAUUGGAUUUGGUCAAAACUAUAUCACUAGUCAAGCUAUUCUAGAUUCAAACAAUCAAAUCUAUUUCAUUGAAUUCGAACUAUAUAAGAAAGAGGAAAGCCAUGCCAUUGAAAAAUAUUGUGCGCUUUAGUUUAGUUGUUUAAUUGAUUAUUGAUUACAACUAUAAUUUUAUUAUUACUUUAUUUUUUCAUGAUAUUAUAUAUGUUUUAUAGCGGUUUAAUGACAAUAAUGGGCAAAAAAAUUAAUUCCACUUAAUAAGUUGAGGGAUUUGGUUUUUGGGUAUGAACAGGUUACGGGUUGGAUAGAUAGAAGAAGAAGAAGGAGAAGAAGAAGAAUGGAAGAAAAAAGUUGCAGAAAAUCAUGAAUUAGUUUCAAAGGUAUAUUAGGUAUUAAGAUGGAUUUAUAAAGUAUAAUAUAAACUUUUAAAUUUUAACAAUGGUUUUAAUGAGUAAAGGAAUUUUGAAACUAAUCCGGUGGAUUUAAAAUGUACUCAUUAAAACUUAAUUAUUUUUUUUUGUUUUUUGAAAAGACUAAAACUUAAUUAUUUAAAAUUAAUAUAUUAGUGCAUAGAAUAAUGAAGCGAUCAAGGUAAUUUUUACAGCAUAAAUAAUCCUACUCUUUUAUGAAAUAGUAACUCUUGGAAUUGUCUGAUUAGAUUAUCAGAAGAUGUUUGCUUGUGGAUGCCAACUGACGUUACAAAGUGAUAAAUGGAUGAACGCACUGUUAACGGGAUAAUAAGUUGUAUAUGUAGGAUUAACGUGUGUGUAGAAGAAAUCUUGCGGUUAUAAUAGACUUGAAAGGUAUAGUCCGUGCACAUCUCACUAUUUGGUGCGUAUGAAUUUUAGCAAUUGAUAAACCGUGAAAUCAAUCAAAUCAUUACCGGCUAUGACUAACAUGAUCAGCCAUAAUUAUUUCUUGUCUCCAAAGAAUUAUUAGUAAACAGUAAAAGGAAGUCUUCAAUGUGAAGAAUUAUCUGUGAAUUCUUGUUCCUAAGUUCGAUCCAUUGUGUACGUGAGAUGAAACUAAAAAAUUAAAAAAGAAAGAAAUUAACAAUAAAGAAGAACGAUCAAGAAGAAGACGAAGAAUAAAAAAAAAAGGGAAUUAAGAAAUAAAGAAGACGAGGGGUGGAAAAUAGUAUUGAAUGAGAAAUGAGAAAUAUGAUUUUCCUUUUUUUAUUCUUAAUGUAAAUUUCACAGCAACAAUUAGAGCAACAUUCACGGAACAAUCUCUGUACCAAGUAAAGCCGACAAAUAUGGCCCUUGCUUUAGCCAUAGGGUUUCCUUCAUCCAGAUUAUGCCUUAAUUUUCUCUGAUUCCUCUAAGAAUUGAUUAAAGCAAUAAUGCAUGACAGAUAUAGUUUUCUCUGCUUAGUAGGGAUCAAUGCAUGCAUGAAAAAGUUGAGGACGAUAAACGACUAGUCGUUUUAACACCCAUACGAUGGUUUUAAGCUAAACUAUUCGACGAUUGUUCUGCUGCAACACAUGGGCCAAGAUGAAGAAUUUAUGGUAAAUUUAAGUUAUGUUGUAUUUGGAAUAUUUGGCGUCGAAUUUUUUCCUAAUUCCAGAUCCAUUUGCCCUUGUGACCAAAUCUAAUCUUGUUAGUUCUUUGAAGGGCUUGUUUUGGCAUCAUGAAUAAUUUUCUAAGAAAAUUUCAUCUCAGGUAUUAUAGUAUUGGGAGAUGGUUAAAAUAAAUAAUUUUAUCAGUGUAAGUAAUUGAAUACUAGUGAAUUCAAAUACAAAGUUUUUCAAUUAAAAGUAAAAAACGAAAUAAAUUAAAUCCUAUUACACCACUUUCGCAGGUAAUCACGGUUGCAUUUAGCGUAUGCAACAAGCCUUUAAACCCCUAGGCAGCCCUAGUGGACGAGUUUAGUCUCGUGAGGGUUUGUAGCGACGAUACCCACAAACAUCAUCAAUCCCUUUAAUAAUAUUUAUCUUAAUCUUCAUUACUACCAAAAUGAAUGCUCCGUCCUCUCACAAGGGCAACAUUAUCAGAAACCUCACCACAAUUAUCACAGAAGCAUUGUGCCAUUAUGCUCAUUGCCGAAACUUCAUCUAAGAAGGGCUUUUGACAAGCUACCUCAAAUUCUUUCAAUGUCCUCGUAGAACUUUCACUAGAGUUUGUCUCGUUCUGGUAGCAAUAGCUUGUGGUGAUAUAUUUAUCAAAAUCUUUCAUGAACGUUUUGGUAUGCUUGGCCUAAUAAAAUGAAAAAACAAAGAAAAAAAUGAAAUGAAUAUAUGCUUUAAAAAAUGAGUUAACUAAAUUAAAAUUUUUAAAGACUAAUAACUAAAUUAAAUUUUUUAAGACUAACCCUUCGCAAGCCUUCGCCGGUCUCAUCGUACUCCCCAACUAUCGGGUCGCCAAUGAUCAGACCACCAACAUUAUGAUCAUUUAUCUGCAUAUAAAAGUCGUUAGAGAAAUACAAUCCAUAAAUUUAUUUGCUUAAUAUAUUCUUUGUAAUUUUUUUUUUUAACAAAUUGAGCUACAAUUCAUGUUUCUUUUUAAAAUUAAAUUAACCAAAUAGUAUUUCUAAAUUUUAACACUCAAGUCCUGCUCAUUUUAAUUUUUUAUGUUAAUAUCAUUGUCCAUUAUUGAUCAUUAUGAAAAUUCUAAUAGAAUGUGGAAUUGUCAUUUUUACCCUUACAAAGAAACAACUGAAGGUUGAGGAUAUUUAAACCAUAAAAAUAUUCUUUGUACCACCUUUUAAUUAAAUAAUUUAUAUUAAAAAAUACUCAUUCAUUAAAUUAUUUUAUGGACGAAGAAUAAAUCUCUGUAAUUUACAACUAUUUAUUCUUUAUCCAUGCUAUCUUUCAUCUUGCACAAAAAUAACCAUUCGUAUAAACUAAAAAAGAAAAAUCCUUAGGAAAGGUGUAGUUCAAGAAUUUCUAGGGAAUAUGAAUGACAAGUUUAUAAAUAACAAAAUUUUAAGAGCUAUAAAUCUUAUAUUUGGAGCAUCUAUGAAAAAAUAACAACAUUUUCAAAUCAAACCACUAAUUAGACCAAAGGACCUAUGUUAGGAUUAUUGUUGAUGAAAAAAAAUCUGUUUCUGAAAUAUGAUGGUUUCAACCAAAAUUAUUUUAUUAGGUUUGAGUUUAUGACAAGUAGAAAUAAAAAAAAAAUGGAGGAUGAAGUUCAGGAGUGCUAAAUUGUUAUUUAGGAAUAAAGAAAGCAAAGGGACGAAGUUCGGUUUCCAUUUAGAUGAAGAUAUUAAUAUGCAAAUAAUAAAAUUUAAUUACAUAUAAUUUAAGAAGUAUGGGACAUGUUCAUUAAUAAUAUCAUUGAAAACAUUUAAUUUACGCAUCUACACAGUCACUUUGGUCAUAGUUUGUUAUUAUUGACAAAUUAAUAUAUUUUUGUCACAUAUUAUUUUUUUAUUGACAUAUUCAAAUAAUUUAUUUUAUAUUAAAGAGAUAUUAUGUUAUAAAAUUUUUGUUAUUAAAUCAUGUUAAUUUUUCAUGCAUUUUGGAAUUUGUACGUGAGAUUACAUUACUGCACAUACAAUGUCACUCAUUCUAAUAGUGAAAUUAGGUCGAUGGAUUCAAGUGUAAAAAUUUUUGAAACAAUCUGGACAUACAUGUUAAGAUUUAGAAACCUUUGACUCUUUUGAUUUUUCAGCAAACAUCAGGGAUGGCAAUGUUAGUAACCAUGCAAACACAUGCAUCUAAACCGUUAUGCAACUAUUUGGUUUGGUCUAAUGGUUAUAUCACUAAAUGAAAAACAAGGGGUACCUAACGUGGAUUACAAAAUAGUUGGACCUUAUAUAGAUGUUAAAUUAUUGUUUAUUUAUUUUGAAUAUCACUUUUACUACUUAUUCAUAGUUAUAAUAUUAUAAACUUACACGUUUUCUGAGUUGCUCCAGAUCCUGUGCUUUUGUAGUUUGUGUUAUAUGUCUGCGACAUUGAAAAAAAAUAGUGUUACACAAAUAAUUAAUUUAUAUUUUAUCUCUAACUAGUAUUUACUAUAAUGUGAAAAGCAAUUAUACCCCAAUGGUGUCAUUUCCACAUAAUUUUGCUCGAAGUUGGCUAGUGCAAGGCCGAUAUACUUAGAUCCAGGAUCAACAGCUAUAAUAUUUUUCUUAAGAGCUUUACAUUCUCUCAAAAGAUUCUUGGCAAUUUUGAGACUCAUUGAGGAUUUUAUUUUAAUUAACCAACAAAUUUUCUUUUUGCCAAACGAUUAUGCUUGUUUUGAUUUGUGCUCCUUAAAUUAGAUAGAUAAUCAUGUAUUUGAUCAUGUUUUUUUUUUAAAUAUAAAAGAAAAAAAUCAUUCAUUGUACAUGUAUUUGUGCUCCUUGAAUUAGGUAGAUAAUCAUGCAUCUGAUCAUGUUUUUUUUUCAAAAAUAUAAAAGAAAAAAAUUAUUUAUUGCACUUGUAUUUGUUUGAGGUUGAAUCACGACAUAAAACAUCUAUGCUAAUUUUUUUUUUUCAACAUCCAAUUAAAAUCCUGGUUCUGCCACUGAUUAGAAGACUUGGGUCAAUUUUAAAUUUUUGCUAGCAUGUGAGCGGAUUCAAGAGACAUUGUGAACUCAAGGAACAUCUCUAUUCAUUCCAUCAGCCCAUAAAUAUCACUAAUGACCCAAAAAACCUCAGUACGAGAGCUAGAGACACAAUUAAUAAGUUCAUGAGCCACUACACAAUUGGCUUGAUCAUCACCAGCAUGUUCUACCACUUUAUUAGAUCGGCCUGGAUUUGCUCUUGCCGUGCAAACAACAGAAUCCCAUCUAAAGUUAGAUUAAUUACAUCUUAUCCUUCAUUAAAAAAUAAAUAAAAUUACAUGUUAUCCUAGGUUGCAAUGUUAGAUUUCAUAAUUAAAGAAUAAUACUUUUAUAUUUGAAUUAUCUUUAUUUUCAAUUAUUUUUUAUAAUUAAUUUUUUAGAGUAUGUAUUCAUAGAAUAAGGUACUUUAUGUCCCAUUUUAUUUAAUAUACUUCUUUCUACUUAUGAAAUUUUAUGGUCAUAAUAAAAUAUUAAUUUUUAAUUUAGCCCAAGAUAAUAUAAAGCUUUGGGUCCGCCCUUGGUUAACUUAUUGACUAGCGACUAAAUAGACGAUGUUUGGGUUGCCUCUCCGAUGAUUGAAAUUUUUUUCUUUUUUUUUUGUGAAAAAAAGAAAAUACUCAAAUAGUUUUAUUUUUAAAUUAAAUUAAAGAAGUUGUUCUUACUGAAGUACAAGUUGUUCUUACUGAAGUACAAGACGCAGUUCCUACGAAAUAAAAUUAAAGAAUGAAGAAGAUAGAAAUUGUAAAAGCUAGCUGCAUACACAGCUUUUGGGCAUGUCUUAAAGGACAAAUUAAUCAAGCACGCCACCAAAUUGGAACGCAUUCGUGAUUCAUAAAAGUACAAACUCAUUAAUCAUUAAGACAUGAAGUAGUUGUAAUUAUUUAAUUGUAAUAACUUUAAUAAUUAUUUAAUUGUAAUAACUUUAAUUAUCAACUUCUAAAAUUUAUGGUAACGUUAUCAAUAAAAUUCCGAAGGAUGAAAAUUGUCAAUCAGUCUCAUUAAUAACGGCAACUUCUUGCUCAAUGUCACUCGCUUUCACUCUUAAUUUUGAAUAUUUAAGUAGUUUUCUUAUUAAUUAAAUUGAAUAAGUUGUGGUUUGUGUGUAAUCACUCGAGUUUCAGCAAUAAUGAGUAGGGUUAGUGUUGGUAUUUGCACAAAAUUGUUAUAACUACAAUUAUUAAUAGUUGAAGAACACCAAAUUUAUUUAUUGAGUAGUGUUACACAUCUCAAAAUUUUUAUCAUAAAUGAUAUGACAUUCAUCAAAUUGAUUGGUGAGAUAUUACAAUUAAUUUACUUAAAUUUGAUAAGAAAUUAUGAAAUUUAAUGAAUGACAUGUUAUUUAGAAUAAACUUUGAGAUAAUAGGAGUCUAUUACCACUCUUAUUUUUUUAGACUUGGCUAGGACUGAAAAAUGAUGUUGAAUCGUUAAUAGGAAAAUCAUUCAAGAAAACAUAGAACGACGAUGCAAGGUAGCAAGAAUAUUAAAAAAUAUGUUAGAGCCGGUUAGGGAUGGCAAUUGGCACCGCCCGCGGCGGGUUUGUCAUUAUCAAAGCCAAACCCACACAAAAUUUAAAUUACCAAACCCACCUGCAACCCAUAGCGGGUUUUAAUUUUUUUAAGAAAACCCACCCGCUAAGGAUUUUGACAAUUACCAAACCCGCAUUGGUAUCCGGCGGAUUUUUUGGGGAAUUUUUAUAUUUAAAAUCACAAAUGUUGAAUAUAUAAAUUUACAAUAAUAACCUCAAAUUCCACAUAACAUAUUCAAUUUUAAAUUUAACUAAUAUAAAUGAAAAAUUAAAAUUUCAACAUCAAUCCAACACAAAAUUUUAAAUUUUAAGUAUAAAAUACACAAAUCCAUUAAAAAAAACGACAAACUAAUAUCUAAAAAUAACAAUUACAUCUCAUAUUAUCAUUCAACACAAGCUCCAAGAAAGAUGUUCAUUUCAUUCACCAUCAUUAGCACCCAUCCAACAUGAUGCCUACAAUAAUGAUUAAGAUUAAUAUUUUCCAAAAAAUAAUAUUUUUCAAAUACUAAUCCGAAAAAACUUAUAUAAUGAACUAAUUCAUGCAUUAAGUUAAAGAAAAAUAGUCCAUACAAAAACAUUUUGGUUAUUUGGCACUUUGCAUUGUUAUACACACUACACUUGUUUAUACUUUGGUUAUUUGGCGCUUUGCAUAAUUGCAUUAUUUUCUUUAUAUAUUAAAUAUUUAAAUAUUUUUCAAUUAAAAAUAUUUAAAAAAUAUUGCGGGUCUAGCGGAUAUCCAUGUGGGUAUUCGCCGGAUAUUGGGCUAAUACCAAACCCACCCGCAUCCAAAUGCGGGUUUCAAUUUGUAAUACCAAACCCACCCGCAACCCACAAAAUUAUCCGAAGCAGACGGGUUUUGGCGGGUGGAUUUGGGCGGGUUUGUAGACACAAUUGCCAUCCCUAUAGCCAGUUAAAUGGAGAAAAAUUUUAAAUAGUUUUCAUAAAGCAUAUUUUUAUUUUUUUAUUGAGCAUAAAAAUUGCAUUAAUCUCAUGACAAAAGAGUAUAAAGUUCUACUAAAACAUUUUCCAGCCGAACUACAACACUAGUCGUCGAGGCGGAACUACAUUCACGCCUAGCAAGGGUUGCCAAGGUUUCAAAAUUUAUUUUUAAAAAAUAAUGUGAAAACUAAAAAGUUUUCAAAAUGAUCCCCAAUAUAUGUUUCAAGGCAACUCUCAAUUUUCUUCAUAUUUUCGCAACCCCUAAAUUAAAAUCUUAAUUCCACCACCGACUAGACGACUUUUGCAAAUUCUGCUAGCUUUUGAGUUGAUACUUUGCAAUUUCAAGAGACAGGUUGAACUCAAAAAGCACUCAUUCGUUCCAUCAGCAGAUGAAUAUCACUAAUGACCUAAACAAACCUCAAUACGAAAACCUUCAAUCAGCCACUACACAAUUGCGCUACUACAGUCAUUGAAUUCACAUGGCAACAACAUCCAUGGUUGUGCACGUUUUAGCUAGCGUCUUUAAUGCGCGCUCAAAUUUAAGUUGGCAAAAAUACAUGAUUUUUCUCUAAGCUCUGAUUUUAAUCUUGUGGGAAGGAGAUGAAUGAAAUACUAAUUUUUUUUUUAAAGGGUGAAAGACCAAAAAAGAAAAAAGCAGUACUUGAAAAUUAUAAGCUCAAAAGUUGUUUAACUAGCAAUUCAUUCAUUUAUUUUUUUAGAAGGAAUAAUUCAUGAGUUUUCAAGUCAGCUUUAACGACAAUGAGAUGUGAAAAUAAUUGUUGCAUCUUUAGAAAGUAGUCCUCUUAUAAGAAUGCACACAUCCUUUUAAAGUACAGACGUUCAGAUUUUAUAAGCUCAUAUUACAAUAUAUUUAUGUAAUAUUCAGAAGUUUCAUCGAGAGUUUUUAAGUUACAUUUCACUCUUACCCCUCCUCAUCAUCAAAUUAAAUGUAUACCCUUAGAAUUGCACUCGUGACUUCUUGCUUCCAUUGCAAUGGUUAAGCCAACUAUAUUCGGGAUUUAAAUUUACGUGAUUAUAAUACAUUCUCGAAAUGUAGCGAGACUAAAAUGAUAAUCUAAGCCUGUUAAACUAAAACCAAAACAAAUGGUUGAUCGUGAUUUCUUUUUCAUUAGAUUUUAAUACUAAUGUAUGCAUGGUGUAAUGUUUAGACAAAAUAGAUGGGCGCUUAGUGUUAUUUACUUAAUUUGAUAUCUAAUUUUGAGAACCACAUUGGACUGGUCCCGUUGGAUCUGACUGUCCAUGUAGUCUAUUUUGGUCUAAAUAGGGAUCAAACUUUGAUUGAACUUUGGACUCAAAUGUGGAAUCAGUUAGGGGUGGGCAUGAGUUGGUUUGGGUUAGAUUUUAAAACAAUCCGAACUAAAUUAUAAAAAUUUGGGCCUGACCUAAACCAACCCAAAUAUUUUUAACCGAGCCUAAAUAAUUCAUUUGGGUUUUGUUUGAAUUUUAUAAUCAAAAUAUUUUUUACUUUGAUAAAUUUAAUUAUAUCAAAAUUAUAAUAAUUAUUAAUUUUAUUAAUUAUUACAUUACUAUUAAAAUAUGAAAAAAUAUAGUGGAUAAAAAAUUAUAAAUAAUAGAUUUUACAAUAACUUUAUCCUUAAAUUAAAGAAUAUUAGAAAAUUAAAAUAAAAUUUAAUUACAAAAAUCAUUAUUUCUCAAUAAAUGAGAACGUAAACUUUAACAAUAAACUUUCACAAACAUGAUAUCAAUAAGUAAAUUAAAAGAAAGAAAAUAAAAAUUAGUGGUAUUAACCAUAUUAAAACACAAAUUCAAACAAUGUCAAUACAAAUCAAAACAAGAUAAGACAUCCCAACUCAGAUAUCAAAGCAAUCCAUUAUAAUCAUUUCUAUCCACAGUACUUUAAUUAAAAUAACAACCACAAGCUAUACAUGUAAAGAUAGUUGUAUUAAGGCUCCGUUUGAUACAACUUUUCAAGUAGAGAUUUUGAUAGUAGAGCUUUUACAAAUAGAGCUUUUACUUAAAAAAAUUUAGAUGUUUGGUUGUCAAUAAGAGCUUUUAUUAAAAAUUUAUAAAAUUUUUAAGUUAUGUUAUGAAAAUAAUGUCAAAUAAGUAAAGAAUAUUUUAGAUAUUUUAAUAUUUAAAAAAAACUUUUCAACCUCUACUCUCAAAAGCUCAAAAUUUGAGAUUUUGUUAGUAGAGGCAAAAUAGCUUAUUUAAACUCUAAAAAUUCUAUAAAAAAAAAACCAAAUAAAAACAAAAAUUAUGAUAAGAGCUUAUGGAAUUAAAUAAGCACUUAUGAACAUUACAUAAGCCAUACCAAAUAAACACUAAAUAAAUAAAAUAAAAGAGUAAAUGAAUAGAAUAUUUCAUGUAACUGAGCAAUCUCGAGCUGUUUACGAAUAUAUGUGGAAAGUGUCCUAAGUUUAAUAUAUAAAAUGGUUCUGAAUAAAGAGAAUUUGAAAGACGAAUUGAAAGAGCGAGCAGGCACUAAGAUUUCCUCAUUUCAAUCUCAUUCAGGUAUAUUUGAUUAGUAAAGUGAAAGACCCCGAGUCCGAGUCCGAGUCCGAGUCCGAGUGUCCAACUAGAAAAUUCAUUAAAUACGCACCUUCUAACCGACUCAAUCCCACCACAAGGGACCCACAAAACCCACCCAACCAAACAAAACUGCCUUUUAAGUCUCAUUAAGUCUCUGUUCUGUUUUGGUCAAUCGAAUUCCUCUGUCCUUUCUGCGCAACAAAAUCACAAACGAUGUUGCGCCAUGCCUCUAACCUCGCCUCCAAAGUCAGGUGCACUUCUCCUUCACAGUUUACCAAAUUUUUAUUUUGUUUACUUUGUUUUCCUUCCACUUCUCUCAUUUUGUUUAUGUUAGUUAAUUUGAUUUUGUAGGUUGCUUGAUAACAAUUUUCAGCCGGUGAUGAUUCAUUCAUUCAUUUAUUAGUGUUUUUUGUUUCCUUUUUUCAAAUAAUAAUAACUAAUUCUGGCUUGGCUUAUUCAGUUCAAUUGAUUAAUUUCGUUGAGUUAAUUUCGUUGAAUUUAAUUCUGUGUCAGGUUCAUUUAACUCGGAGCAGACAGUAUACCGCGGCGGAAGUCACUAAAAGAUUUUUGGAUUGUGAAACAUCUUCUGGAUUUUCUUAAUUAAGAAAUUAGAUUUGCUGUGAAUGGGAAUGGAGUUAAUUAAUGGAUACAGAUCAUCUGAUCAAAUUCAAUUGACAUCUAUCUUCUGUCUGCAGGCACCAAUUCUAAAGUUAAAAGGGAGAAUUUUAUAUGCGGGAGGAUGCGGAAGUGCCAGACCAAAGACAAGGGGCUAGAAUGGCAAUUGAUGCACUUGUGGGAAAUUUAUACAGCACAGCACAACCCAUCACAUCAUUCGAACAAAUAGCCCUGGUUUUCUUUCUCACUUUAGACUCUUGCUCAAUUUAAUGAUAAUCCACAGAAAUAUAUUUCAUUUUGACGCGCUUUUUUUCCCAUUUUAAAUUGAAGUUUGGAACGGCUGCAGCAAAUGGUGACAGAGUGAUUGGCGAGCUCAUAGCCAAGGCUUUUGAGAAAGGUUGGGGAAACAAUCUUCAUGUGUUAGCUGUAAGUUGCUUCUUGAAUUUUUCAUCGUCUUUACUUUUUUCUUAUCUGCUGUGCCUCUGAUUCGGUUGUUAUGUUUCAGAACCUUCCAUUUUGUUUCCUCUACUGUUUUAUGUUUAUUUUCUACUGCCUCACUACUAUUGCAGGAUCGGAAAACACCACCCAGUAUUGAACUUCAGUUGUAUUGGGGAAUGACCCUAGACAGGGGCUAUUUGUCACCUUACUUCAUCACCAAUCAUAAGACGAAAGAAUGUGUAAGCAUUUUGAGAUAUCAAUAAAUUAAUUGACGUUUUAUGAGAAAUUUGUGAUUCUAUAAAGGAUAGAUAUAUUGACAAUGAAGUAAUUGAGAUUGCUUAGUUCUUACCUUGAAGAUAUAACUUUGGAUCAGCCUUGUUAUUAAUCAACUAGUGAUUUCAUUUUUACUAGGUUUUACGAGAUCCUUAUAUCAUGAUCCUUGAGAAAAAGGUUUCGAACUGCGUCUUCUUUGACUUAUUGACAGAGAUUGGACCAGUUAGAAGAUAUAAUGGCACAGAUGUACUGAUCAUUGCUGAAGAUAUUGAAAAUGAUCUCCUAGCAAGUCUUGUCUUAAAUGGAGUGGCUACAGCAACCAAGGUGAACUUAUACUUGACAGUGUUUUGCUGUUAAGAGAUGGCCUACUUGAAGAAUCUUCUAUCAUUCAAUUAUUCAUUUAAUUUUACAAAGUGAAGUUUCAUAUGUCUUCUCAUUUUUUGUGGGUUCUGAAUUGCUUGAAGCCUUGUGUCAUAAAACCUCCUGGAUUUGGAGAAAGUAGGAAGGCUAGCCUUCGGGACAUUGCCAAAUUCACGUAUGGGAAGGUUGGUUCAUUUGAUAAAUGCUCCACCUUGCUUUGCAUGAUUAUUAUGUGAUUUACAAAACAAUGUGUUCCUUUCUUUCUCUUUUAGGUCAUGACAGGAAAAGAUUUUGAAUGCGUAUCUCUUGGCCAUGCUGAGAAGGUGAGAGAUAUCAGAUAUCAGUGACUGGUAUAUAAUUUUCUUUGGUGUGAAAAAAAGAUUUAUUUUACCUAAGUAGAGCACAUCAUGAGAACGUUCUUCUCAUCCUUGUUUCUGGUGGACUUUAAUCCUUUCUUCUGGUACAACUUUGGCAUAGUAAUAUAUUAAUUUUCAUUUCCUUGUGUAUAUUGACAAGAGAGACGAGGUUUUGCUCAAACAAUAUGUCUUAGCCCUCUUUUAUCAUUGUAGAUUACGGUAUCAAAGGAUCAGACGGUUAUCCUUCUUUGUAAGGCUUGCAUAGGACACGAAAAGGUCUGUGUUGUGACAUUUCACAUGAUUUUCCAACAAGUUAUCAGAAUUUUCAAUUGUGUUUAUAAUUUGAAGCGACUCUGCUUUUCAGUUUAUACUGUUUGGCUCUUUUGUGCUUCUUUGGGCUGUUUCUAUAUUUUUGGACAACUUGCUUACCCUUUUGCUAAUUUUCUUUUCUUAAAUAUGUCUGUUGCAGUUGUUACAGUGGAGAUUCACAAUGGAAAAUUUACAAGAUUUCCCUGAAGAGAGCUGUACAAAGCACUCUUAUCUCGCUGCUGUUAUAAAGGUUUGGUUAUUUGGAAUUGUAAAUUAGUUCUUCAAGAGCUUUGAAACUGACUUGUGCUGGGCAUAGAAUGAAAGUUCUCAGCCUAACAUGACCUAUUAGCACGAUCCAUUUGGGCCAAGUCAUGACCAGGUCUAAACUCUAAAUCCUGGUUGGCCAGCCAAGAAAUUUGAAUUUUCUUUUAUCUGCUAUUAAAAAAGUUGAAUAAACUCAUUUAUAGGGAGGAUCAAUGAUCAGGUCAUUUUGGAUAAAAUGAUUUAAUUAAUUGACUAAUUCUUUGGAUUCAUAUUACAUUCCCAUCUUCAUAUGAUUAUAAUUGAAGUAUAGAGUAGACUGAUACCGUACAAAUACUUUGAUACUUUAAAAUGGGAAAAAGAGAAGAAAAACAGUACCAAACAGUCAAUUAGACAUUAUAAUAUAUGUGAAGUUUUGGAACUGGAUUUUGGUAGAAGUAUAUAUUCCUUGCUAAUAGGAACGUGCCAAAGAUGAAUUCAAUUUGCUUGUUUGGUUACAGUAAUUGCAUUUAGAAGACAUGACUGCAUCUUAUUCUGUUGUUGCAUCAUGCUAUAAAUGAAAUUUGGCUCGUUGAGAUGAAAGAUUGUUGAAUUAGAGAUGUUAGGUAAGGAAGUAUUCUGAUUUGAAAUGAAACGGGUGCUGUUGUUGUAAGGUCUGUGGAAGUAAUAAAGCUGAAGUGCGUGAAAAGAAGGAUAGAGUUGCUAAUGCCAUAAAUGCUGUCAAGGCUGCAAAGGAAGGAGUUGGUAAACCUCUUAUAUUUUUGGCUUUUGUUGGUCUAUCUUGUUUGAUUGAUGCAUGACAUACAAAUGUUAUAUGUAUUCUGAUGCAUUUGCAGUUAGUGUGAUGUCACUUUUAUAUGCCUGCAAGGAGUUGGAUAAAUUGCAAACUGCUAACCAUGGUCAGAAGAUUGGUGUUCAAGCUAUCCAAUAUGCUCUUGAGGUUUUCUUUAUUCUUCUUUUUAAUUAUGUAUGUGAUAUUUCUAAAAGCUCUUAUUGUCUAUCUGUCUAAAGGCAGAGGGCUGCUAAGAUUAUUCCUCGUUGAAAGGUGAAAAGUGACAUAUACUUCACAAAAUGCAUGCGUGGUUUUCGUUAUGGGGCAUGAGCCUUAUCUUUUAUGUAUCUCAAGAGUGAAUCAUGGUAGAGAAUAUUGGUAACAAAAUGUCUAGUUUUUCAGAGCCUUCUGAUUGGUUGAGCCUGCAUCUGCAGAUGCUGGUGAGCGCGAUUGCUUAUAGCGCUGGAGUUGAUGGGUCAGUUGUUAGCAAGCUACUCGAGGGAUCCAAGCCUAAACCCCUCGGUAAAGGUUUGCGUCUGUUUCCCCCUUUUUCGAAUAAUGGAAAUUUGAAAAGGAAACGAGUGAAAUUCGAGGGUUGGGAAUUAAGUGAGGGUACUUUGAUCUACAUUUGUGUCAGGUGAAAAUGCAGAUAUGCUUAUGCCAGAAAUUGUUUUUCCAUUGAAAACCAUAAGAGCAGUCUUGGUGGAGGCUACAAGGUAACUAGUUAUUUAAAACCUUUAAGCUUAUGCUAAUUUUUUAUCUAAGCACAUAUUAAUUCUUUCUUCUUGUGUAGUGAGAUGUUAGCAAGACUUUGAAAUUGAGGCUCUUAAGGUGGCUCAGCUUGUCUUUCCAAGAAUAUUUGCAAAGAAAGUUCCAGCUGAUACAAGCCUCCAGAGUAAAACAAAGGCGUAAUGGAGGCUUCUAUCAGCUUUCACUGGGUGCUGUUAUGGUUACGGUGAUUUAUAAUCCAAAUUCUCAUGGCACAUUAUAUUUAUUUAUUAUUUGUUUGAAAAGCAUACAUUAAGCUUUUUCAUAAACUAUACACGAACAAGAAACGGAAUAUAUUGGUCAUCAGGAGUUGCGCCUUAGAUAAAUAAUACAUGGAUGCUCCAACUUCUUAUAUGCAGUUUAUUUUUUUUCUUUUUCCCCUUAUUUUCCCUUUUCUGUUAGAAGCAAAAAUAUUCUCGACAUCCCAUUUCUAAUCUAUGUAUAUAAUAUCCCUCCAAUAAAAUGUUGCCAGAUUAUGAUUGCUAUUACCAUUAGCAAGUGGUGAGUGGUAGAUUUGUUGUUUUGUUGCAAAAUUAAUAUGUCAACUUUUGCGCCUUAGAUAAAUAAUACAUGGAUGCUCCAACUUCUUAUAUGCAGUUUAUUUUUUUUCUUUUUCCCCUUAUUUUCCCUUUUCUAUUAGAAGCAAAAAUAUUCUCGACAUCCCAUUUCUAAUCUAUGUAUAUAAUAUCCCUCCAAUAAAAUGUUGCCAGAUUAUGAUUGCUAUUACCAUUAGCAAGAGGUGAGUGGUAGAUUUGUUGUUUUGUUGCAAAAUUAAUAUGUCAACUUUAUUGCAAACUUUGCCCUUGAAAUCGGAAGUCUUCUAUUUUUUUUUUAAUUUUUUGAAAAAAUAAGAAUGGUAUUUAAAUAAGAAGGGAUAUCGACGGAAUUGAACUGAUGGUGUGCUUGUUUAUCAGUCACAUUCUUGUUUAUUUUUCAGAAAAUACAAUCCAUAAUAAGAAUCAAUUUUAUAGGACCACUCAAAAUGAGAAUGUGGAAUAAAAAUCUCAUUUUCUAAACUGGUCUUUUUUUUUACCCUUAUUGAUAUUGAAAUUCAAAAAUUUCUUUUUCACCCCCAUAUAAAUACAUAAAAAAAAUCAAUUACUUCAAUAAUUUUAUUAUUUAAAAUUAACAUUUAUAAAAAAUUAUUAUAAAAGAAUUUUUUUUUCUGGAAAACUAGUUUAGCGUAAUAUUAUUAAGAAAUAUACAUACAUUUUAGUUUUAUUAGUUUAGCUCAAUUUUGCUUUUUUUUUUUUGGAAGUCAGUGUUUUAUAUUUAUUUUAGUGCAUGUAAUAUGUAAAAAUAACUUGAUUUUACCUAUUUUGAUAAAUUUACGUUAUUUUGGAUUUAAAUAUAAAAGGUAUUAAAACUCCAUUUAUAUCAGUUUUUUUAAUUAUUAAUAAUGUUCUCUUUGAGAAGGAUAUAAGUCUUCCAUCACUUUCAUUUUGUGUCACAUUAUAAUUUGUGAUACAUUUGGCAACUCGCAUUACAUUGUAUUGCAAUUGCAUUAAAACACUACUCUUAUGCUAACUCAUGCUUGGUUAAAAUUUUUAGUUGCAUUGCACUACAUUUAAAAGUUGGCUAAUAUAAGAAAAGGUGUAUAAAAUAGAUUCGCAGGGGAGACGGUGGUAGGGUUUCAGCUGUAUUAUAUUCAAACAUUGUUUAUAUUUUAAUUAUAAUCAUAUAACUUUUAUUAUUUAAUGAAUUAUAGGAAAUUUAAAUUUAUUAUAUAUUAAUUUAUAUUUAAAUAAAAAUUUAAUUUAAUUAAUAAUAAAAGAUAGUAACACACCUAAAUAUUUAAUAAAUAAAUGAUUAUACAUUAUUUUAUUUCAUUAAAUAUAAUCAUUUUAAUUAUUUACUUUAAAUAUGAAAAAAGUAUUUUAAUUUUAUUUUAUCAUUUAUUAUUCAAUAAAAAUUAAUUUAUAACUUAAUAUCAUAUUGUUUUAUAAAUAUAAUAUAAUAUAAUUUAAUUUAUAUUAUGUAAUUAUGUAGUAUUAUACUUUUAAAUAUAAUAUUAAAUUUUACUACAUUAUAAUAUGAUUAUACUAUAUUCCAAUAACUAAUAUAUAGAGAUAAAUUAGAUUAUAAUAUAAUAUUAUUAAUAUUAUAACAUAGUAUUGUAGUGUUUUAUUAUUUAAUCAUAGUAUAUGAUUAAAUCAUGUUUAUUAUAAAAUUAAUAUAUAAAAAUAAUUAUUUAAUACUUAAUUUCAAUAAUUAAUAAUGGAAUCCUAAAAUAUUAAUAAAUUUAAAUAAUAUUAAUUUAAUUUUGGCAUCAAUAUAAAAAUAAUAUUAUUAUCAUAAUAUUGUCUAUGUUGCGCCAAACAUAAUAUUGCAAUGUAGAUAUCCUAAUGCAAUACAUCGUAACACAAUACAAUUAAUGCAAAAAGUGUGCCAAACAAAUCCAUAAAGCACAAAAAUUAAAGAAAGUGAAAGGACAAUAAAAACAGGCAAAAAAAUAAAAACAGGUCGUAUUCUUUAGUCAAGACUCAAGGGUGGAAAUUGAUACUAUUUGCAAUUAUUAGGUGGAAAAUUGAUUUUCUUUUUCCCAAUGGAUAUAACAUUGAUGGAUGAUACAGAUUUUAUACAGUUGGCGCAAAAUUGAAUUAAUUUAAAUUUUUGUAGCAUUUUCUAUAUUGGAGUAAUAUUCAAAUCAACAGCUGAUAAUAUCUUUAAAUUUCAAUAACUUUAAUUAGCAUCAUCAACAAUCAGUUGAAAUGUUAUCAAUAUAAUUCCUCGGGAGGAAAAUUGUCGGCUAGUCUUAUUAGUCAGCACGAUUUCUUGAGUCAUUAUCACUCAGACUCACUCAUAAAUUUGAAUAUGUAGGUAGAUUUCUAAUUAAUUAAAUUGAAUAGUUGUGUUUUGUACCCGUGAUCACUUGAAUUCCACUAAUAAUUAUUAAAAGUUGAAGAGCAUCAAAUUUAUUUUUUUUUCAAACUUGUCGAGGAUUGAAAAACAUUGUUGAAUCAUUAAUAGGAAAAUCGUUCGAAAAAACGUAGAAUGAGGAUGCAAGACAGCAAGAAUAUUAAUAAGUAUGUUAAAGCCGGCUAAAUUAAGAAAAUUUUAUGUAAAAUGUAAUAAAAAAUAUAAAGACAUUUUUGAGUAGUCAAUUUUAGCUUUCUUUCACAAAAUAGUAUUAUAAAAGACAAUUGGUAAAAUGUAAUAAAAAUGGCACGAGAAAAGGUUAGUAGAGGUGAUUUUCCUUGUAGUUAUUAAAACAUAUGAAGUAAUGGACACACACACAUAUUCAGUACUUCUAUUUACCCCUAUUUAUUAAUAGGUGGGAAAUUAAAGUCGUAAUUACCAUAAUGUAUUAUGAAUUGAUAUGUGAAAUAUAAAUAUUAACAAAAGCUAAUUUGUAGACUAAUAAAGUAAACCAUAUUUUAUGGGCACUAGAUACAUUAAUCUAAUGUCAAAUGAGAUAUACCACGUGAUAUUUCAAACUGUAGUCCAAUUUUCAGCAUUUGCAUAUGGUUUUAUAAGCUAGUAAACCAAUAAAAUAUACCAUGAGAAAUCAAAGGCUAUUGCAUAUAUUGCACCACUGGAUAUAUAUAUAUAUAUACACAUAUAACUUCCGUUAAUCUUCCAUGGCCAUGCAUUAGAAUAAAAUAAUCUAACCGCACAAACUAUAUCCGAUUGAUAAAUUUUGAAAUUAUUUUGAUUACAUGAUAAUCGAAUUAUCUUAUAACAUUAAGGGUAUGAAUUAAGUACUAUUUUAUCAAUUUUGAGUAUCGCAUUGAGUUUUCAAAUUAAUUAAAUGUUGAAACUCUUUCAUGUUUGGCCUGACAUUAUUACUUAAUAAAAUUACGAAAAGCCAAUAAUGAAUGGUGAAGGAUACAUAGUAAAAUAAACUUUAAAAUGUAAUUAAGUAUUCCCAUGAAUUUUGUGUAAUUAAACAAAAUAUGUUAUUUAAGUGAAAUUGUGAGAAUAUUUAAAAUUGUAGGGGUGGUCACUAAAAUUUCUCGGACUUGAGCAAACUACACGAUCCCACACGGUUUAUUUUAACAAAUAAAACUUGUUAACCGCUGACUGUUGGUAGAAUAAGUUCGUAUCAAUAAAACACAAUUCAAACUCAUAUUUGCAAGCAGCAAACAAUAUCUCAUCAAGGAACAAAUUUGAGUGGAGUUUUUGGUCAAUCAAUCUAAAUAAAUUUGAGUAGAGUUUUUUGGCAAUUAAUCAAGUUUUUGAGUUUUCAAAAAAUUUAUGUUCAAGGUAAAUCUAGGAGCUAUCAUUACAAGAAAGCAAUGGAUAUUGAUCAACAAAGUUAGUACUGUAUAUAUUCUUUGUAAUUUGAUAUUUAGAACUGUUAUGAUUAUUUUGUUGUUGAGUAGAGAGAUGGUUAUGUGGAGAUUUCAGCUAUGUAACCAUGUAAUGACCAAUGCUUUAAAAUCAAACACUUGUUCGAUAAUUUGACAAAACAAAAAAAAACAUGUAGAAAUGUAAGAAAAAUGAGCAUGUAAUGUCUGGCAGUCAUGCUUCUAGGGGAAAGAGGCUGAAACAAAGAACUAAUACAUUUUUUAAGUUGGUUGCUUCAGUGAUUCUGAGCAGUCAGCAUUCUUUAAGCCAUAUAUUCAUGUAGAAACCUUCAAAUAGAAAACCAUAAAAUUCUUUGAACUCCUGAGGAAUAAAUCUUUCUAGACAUAUAUAGUUUCUAAUUUUAUUCCUUGUUAAUUGAUAUCAGUUAAUUCAAAAACUUCGGGUCUUGUGUGGUUUCAAGACAGUUGUGACCUUUGUGCACUAAGGGCCCGUUUGGGAGUGUGGUGAGGUAGCUGGGUUGUCAAAGCCCAGCUACUAAAGUGUUUGGUAACACUUAUACCUGGGUUUUGACAAUUUAGCAGAUUUGUUUUCCCAGCUGCAAGUUUAAUUACUAAAUUAGCCUUAUAUAUUAUUCCAUUUUAAUUUUAUCAAACAGUCGUGUCAGUGGGAGUUCUAUUUCAAAUCAAUUUUUUUAAACAAACCCUAAACACCCAUUCUCAUCAGCACGAUUCCGACUGUGGGAGUUCCAAUUGAUGCGAUUCCGACACUGGCCACUCUCAUACGCCUCUGUCAGUGGUGCGUUUUCCUCUACCCGUUGUUCAUUUUUUAGUGCUCCUUUACUCUAUUGCAAGCAAUUUUUCAUUUUCUUCCUUUUCGUUCAUAAAAUGUUGGGGCUUUUGUUUAGAAUAAAUUGAUGGGUGAUGGGUCAUGUGUGAUUUAUUUGCUUGUAACCAUUGUUUUUAUCGUAGUUUUUAUUUUUGUAGUUGCUUUUUGUAGACAUGCACAGCCCCUGUUUGAUUUGAGUUUCUAGUUCUACAAAACAUUAAAUAAUAAAAUGCAUGCCUACGUUAUGAAAUACUAUGCUUCAGUAAACAAAGGGAAGUUUGUCAAAUUCCGGAUUUCAAGUUGAUGUUUUGGCACAGUCAAAAGAAGGGGGAAAGUGUUGCAAUUGCAAUUGUAUAGGUCUUAUCCAAUUUCUUUGGGAUGGGCCAAAAGAAUAGUACAGGAAAUAUCAAAGCACGUAGCAAAUUUGAGAUUGUGAGGCUAAAUGCAAUUGCAGUUUGUACCUAAUGAUUGUUUAGUUGAAUUUCUUUGUUUCCUAGUCUGGUUUGUCUUUUGUUGCUUUAUUGACUUUCUUGUAAUUGUUUCUAUUCGUGGGCUAUGAUCAUUAUUGUUUGCUGGAAAAGUAUUUCAAGUAAACUAAGUGUUUGAUUAAAAGUAUUUCAAGUAAAGUAACAACUAAAGUAACUUGUUCUGGUUUGUCUUUUUUUUUUAAAUUUUUUUAAUAUCGAAUUAUUUUUCCUUCCACCAUCCAUAACAAGAUUCUAGUAAUUUUAUUAACUUCUAUGUUCUUAUUUUUCCUGUAUUGUUGUUUGACAAAGAAAUAUUUUUUUUUCCUAGGUUUAAGUGUAUGAAAUUAUGUCUAAUAGCUCAACUAGUAAGGCUACCUGGAACCCCCAGACUUUAGAUGUAUUUUGUGACUUAUGCAUUAAAGAGGUGGAUGCCGGACAUCGUCCUGGGACUCAUUUGACUUCCCAAGGAUAUGAAAAUUUGAUUAAGGAGUUCAUUAGAGAAACUGGAUUAGAUUACAACAGAACUCAAAUGAAAAAUAAAUGGGAUUCUUUUAGAACUGAUUGGAAAUUGUGGAAGAAUUUGAUUGGUAAGGAAGCUGGUUUAGGGUGGAAUCAUAGGUUGAGGACAAUUGAUGCAAGUGAGGAAUGGUGGGAAAAGAAAAUAAAGGAAAAUCUGCAAUUCAGUAGAUUUCGGAAAAAUGGUAUUGAUCCAGAGUUGGAGAAAAAAAUAAAUUUAAUGUUCAUGAACACUGUGGCUACUGGUGAGCAUGUUUGGGUUCCCUCAUCUGGUUUUCCUUUAGAGAGUAAUGACGCAUCUGAAUCUCUUUGUGUUGAGAGUACUGCUGACUCUGAUGAGUAUAUUGUGUCUGAUGAUAGUAAGGGAAGCAAAGGUAAAAGAGUGGCCUUAAAAGGGAACAAAGUAGGAGGUGCUGUAAAACUGUCAAGGCAGCUUGAUCGUCUCAUUGAUGCAGUAGAGAAAAGGAACACAACUUCAAACUCUCAAAAUGAUACAAGUGGGAAAGAGAUUUAUAAAGCAUUGGAAGUGGUUGCUUCUUUACCAAACAUUGAGGCUGGGAGUAAAGUGUGGUUAUUUGCUAGUCAGUUGUUUACGGACAAAGUGAAAAGGGAUUUAUUUAAUGAGAUAGAAGAUCCAAAUGUCAAAUUGAAAUGGCUUAAUUAUGAGAAAAAUACAAAGUGAAAAUGUAUUGUAUUUAUGAAACAAUAUUUUGUAAAUUAUGUUUAUGAAUGAAUACUUUUUAUUUUGUCACUGAUUACACUUUAUAUUACAUUUACAAUGUAUAUGAAUUGUUGCUAUUGAUUUAUUUGCUUGAGGCUUAUUUAUGGAAAUAUUUCUGGACUAUUUGCUUGAGGAAAAAUAAUAGCAUUGAAAUUAUUAUUAGUAUAUCUUCCAUAAUUAUGUCUUAACUUCUCAGCAAGCUCUGGCUCUUGGCGUAUAAUUUCCUUCACAAAAUCCACAUGCCCAAGCAUACAUAAUUAAUUUAUCCUGUUGAAGCACAUGAGCCAUUCUUUGUGAUUAAUUAAUUACAACUUAAUUACUUAAUUAUUUCUCUUGCAUAUGUAAUUGGUUGACUUUAUUCUGGCUGUAAUAAAUACCAUGAGUUGUAAGAAUCAUUAACCUUCUUAUAGGCCUCAUAUAUGCAUGAUCGUAUAGAUAAUGCUAAUAAACGUUCUUCAAAUUAAGUUCAUUAAUUUCAUAUUUCUGUCUUAUAUUUAUGCUUCCAAAUGGAUAAUUUUCUUGAGAACUUUCAACAUACUCAAUUAUUUCUUGUCCAAUAUUAUUCUAACAACUAAGAAGAAUAAGAAUAAAGGGACCCUUUAUUUAUGCUUUCAACCAAGAAGAAUAAAGGGACCCUUUAUGAAAAAAAAAAAAAUUCUAAGAGCUAUAAAUCUUAUAUUUGGAGCAUUUAUGAAAAUAAUAAUAAUAAUAUUUUCAAGGGUCCCUUUAUGAUGCCGUAAUUUUUUUACGGUAUCAGUAGUGUGGGAAAUAUAUACCGUUAGAUCUAAUCAACAGUACAUAUUAUUUAUAUUAAUGAAAAUUUUUAAUUAUUUGAAAAUUAUCUUAAUUGGUUAACAAACCUGUAAAAUAGGUAAUUUUAAAUUUAAAAUGAAAAAGAAACAGAGAUAUAGUCAAAUACAAUCUCUCUUUAUCUCUCACGUUCAUGUUUUUAUAAUUGGAUUCUUUAAGAUUAUCUCUGUCUCCUUAUGAUUAGAUGAAAGAGAUUCAAUAAAUUUCUCUUAAUAAAUAUUUCAGUAGUUUUAAUCGUAUUUUCAAAUUGGAAUUUUUUAAUAACGUAACAGCUGUAUUUUUAUUGUAUUGUCAAUUUAUUGCCUUGAGUAUUUGCUGCCAUGGUUUAAGAUCUGUCCUACGCUGCUUAAAAUCAUUCUAUAACGUGCCUAAAGGCACCAGGCGGUUUAGAGGCUCGUGUGGUUCACAGAUUACCAACCAUAGAGAAAAAGUAAAUGGGGAGAGAACCAUGAGGCAAGGUGCACUCACUACUAAAAAAAUGACCUUUACUGACACUUAGUUUCUGACACUUUAUAAAAAGUAUCAGUAAUUAUGUACAUAUGCACCAUUUUCCGCUUUUAACAAACAAGUAUUAUAAAUUAUUGAUACUAACGUGAUUAUGUGAUUAUGCUAUUACAGUGCUAAAAAGAAUGCAGGAUUAAUUAAUCCGCAAGGCAACUAGGCAAGUGGAUAUGUAUCUGUUUGAUGAUAGAUUAGUUUUGAGAAAUUCAUUUAUCUUAUUUAAAAGAUUUUCUUAUUUUUCUUAGUUGUUAGAAUAACACUGGACAAGAAAUAACUGAGUAUGUUGAAAAUUCUCAAGAAAAUUAUCCAUUUUGGAAGCAUAAAUAUAGGACAGAAAUAUGAAAUUAAUGAACUUAAUUUGAAGAAAGUUUAUUAGCAUUAUCUAUACGAUCAUCUAUGAGGCCUAUAAGAAGGUUAAUGAUUCUUACAAUUCAUGGUAUUUAUUACAGCCAAAAAAAAGUCAACUAAUUACGUAUGCAAGAGAAAUAAUUAAGUAAUUAAGUUGUAAUUAAUUAAUCACAAAGAAUGGCUUAUUUGCUUUUUAGAUUGAAGCCCUUGCUGGGAAGUUCAAUUCACUUUAUCACAUAUGAUCAAAACCACAGUUUCUAGUGUCGUUUUUUUGGGGUUUUGUUGAUUACACGGAAAGUAACUAAUUACUACAGCUAAAGCAUGCAAAACAAUAUUAGAAGCAAAAUGAUUUUUGGAUCUGAAGGGGCAAUUAUUUUUUUUUCAAGUUUGUUAUAUGUUCUUUUGUGAAGACCUGAAGAUUCGAGAGUCAGAUUAAUAAUUUUGUCUCUCUUAGGCUUUAUGCGGUGAGAAUGAACUUUCUCUCUUUUAAUUCUCUGUCAUUUUCUCAAUGAAGGCAACAAGAGAAAAUUCAAUCUUUAAAAGUCUCAACAUUCAGAAUUUGGCCAGUCUAGUUGUCUACUUUGCAUCUGCUGGAGUAUAAUAUCGCCAAGAGAUUUUUCCAUUGCACUUUACGAAUUUAUAUUACUUUGAGGAGGGAAUUCAGUUGACUACUAAUAUCUUACAAUUGAAAUUUAAAUGUCGGUCUUUAAAUUCUAAAAAUUAAAGGCAAGCCCCAUAUGAAAAUAUAGAUGUUAAAAUCUUCAUUUUUGUUUAUUGAUACUUUAUUUGUUAGUAUCAUUAUUUUAUAGAUAUACUUGAUGUUACACGAUUGACUAAAUAUUAACAUUAAAAUGCAUAUGGAAAGAAAAGAUGAUGGAGGGCCCCAUAAAAGCAUAAAAACAAACGGAGAGGGUGAAGCAAACUUUCAAAAUUGCAACCAUGAGAAUUAAAAUAGUUUAAGUAAGGUUUUUUUAAAAUCAUAAAUAAUGUACAAAAGAAAACUUAAUGAAGGAUUAUUUGAACCCAAAUUCUCAUUUGAACCAGUAUUAAAAAAAUUUAUUAUUAAAUUGUCUCUAACAUAAGAUACUGUUAUGGACUUAAUAAUGCGUAUUUCAUCUUGAAGUCAUCUCUAAAUUUGCUUAAUGUAUACAGAAAAAAAAAAUUGUUUCAUAGUUAUUAAUUUUUCUUCAACUCCUCUAGUUGAAAACAGAUCAAACUGAGUUGUUAAAUAUUGGAUUUGGUGAAAACUAUAUCACUAGUCAAGCUAUUCUAGAUUCAAACAAUCAAAUCUAUUUCAUUGAAUUCGAACUAUAUAAGAAAGAGGAAAGCCAUGCCAUUGAAAAAUAUUGUGCGCUUUAGUUUAGUUGUUUAAUUGAUUAUUGAUUACAACUAUAAUUUUAUUAUUACUUUAUUUUUUCAUGAUAUUAUAUAUGUUUUAUAGCGGUUUAAUGACAAUAAUGGGCAAAAAAAUUAAUUCCACUUAAUAAGUUGAGGGAUUUGGUUUUUGGGUAUGAACAGGUUACGGGUUGGAUAGAUAGAAGAAGAAGAAGGAGAAGAAGAAGAAUGGAAGAAAAAAGUUGCAGAAAAUCAUGAAUUAGUUUCAAAGGUAUAUUAGGUAUUAAGAUGGAUUUAUAAAGUAUAAUAUAAACUUUUAAAUUUUAACAAUGGUUUUAAUGAGUAAAGGAAUUUUGAAACUAAUCCGGUGGAUUUAAAAUGUACUCAUUAAAACUUAAUUAUUUUUUUUUGUUUUUUGAAAAGACUAAAACUUAAUUAUUUAAAAUUAAUAUAUUAGUGCAUAGAAUAAUGAAGCGAUCAAGGUAAUUUUUACAGCAUAAAUAAUCCUACUCUUUUAUGAAAUAGUAACUCUUGGAAUUGUCUGAUUAGAUUAUCAGAAGAUGUUUGCUUGUGGAUGCCAACUGACGUUACAAAGUGAUAAAUGGAUGAACGCACUGUUAACGGGAUAAUAAGUUGUAUAUGUAGGAUUAACGUGUGUGUAGAAGAAAUCUUGCGGUUAUAAUAGACUUGAAAGGUAUAGUCCGUGCACAUCUCACUAUUUGGUGCGUAUGAAUUUUAGCAAUUGAUAAACCGUGAAAUCAAUCAAAUCAUUACCGGCUAUGACUAACAUGAUCAGCCAUAAUUAUUUCUUGUCUCCAAAGAAUUAUUAGUAAACAGUAAAAGGAAGUCUUCAAUGUGAAGAAUUAUCUGUGAAUUCUUGUUCCUAAGUUCGAUCCAUUGUGUACGUGAGAUGAAACUAAAAAAUUAAAAAAGAAAGAAAUUAACAAUAAAGAAGAACGAUCAAGAAGAAGACGAAGAAUAAAAAAAAAAGGGAAUUAAGAAAUAAAGAAGACGAGGGGUGGAAAAUAGUAUUGAAUGAGAAAUGAGAAAUAUGAUUUUCCUUUUUUUAUUCUUAAUGUAAAUUUCACAGCAACAAUUAGAGCAACAUUCACGGAACAAUCUCUGUACCAAGUAAAGCCGACAAAUAUGGCCCUUGCUUUAGCCAUAGGGUUUCCUUCAUCCAGAUUAUGCCUUAAUUUUCUCUGAUUCCUCUAAGAAUUGAUUAAAGCAAUAAUGCAUGACAGAUAUAGUUUUCUCUGCUUAGUAGGGAUCAAUGCAUGCAUGAAAAAGUUGAGGACGAUAAACGACUAGUCGUUUUAACACCCAUACGAUGGUUUUAAGCUAAACUAUUCGACGAUUGUUCUGCUGCAACACAUGGGCCAAGAUGAAGAAUUUAUGGUAAAUUUAAGUUAUGUUGUAUUUGGAAUAUUUGGCGUCGAAUUUUUUCCUAAUUCCAGAUCCAUUUGCCCUUGUGACCAAAUCUAAUCUUGUUAGUUCUUUGAAGGGCUUGUUUUGGCAUCAUGAAUAAUUUUCUAAGAAAAUUUCAUCUCAGGUAUUAUAGUAUUGGGAGAUGGUUAAAAUAAAUAAUUUUAUCAGUGUAAGUAAUUGAAUACUAGUGAAUUCAAAUACAAAGUUUUUCAAUUAAAAGUAAAAAACGAAAUAAAUUAAAUCCUAUUACACCACUUUCGCAGGUAAUCACGGUUGCAUUUAGCGUAUGCAACAAGCCUUUAAACCCCUAGGCAGCCCUAGUGGACGAGUUUAGUCUCGUGAGGGUUUGUAGCGACGAUACCCACAAACAUCAUCAAUCCCUUUAAUAAUAUUUAUCUUAAUCUUCAUUACUACCAAAAUGAAUGCUCCGUCCUCUCACAAGGGCAACAUUAUCAGAAACCUCACCACAAUUAUCACAGAAGCAUUGUGCCAUUAUGCUCAUUGCCGAAACUUCAUCUAAGAAGGGCUUUUGACAAGCUACCUCAAAUUCUUUCAAUGUCCUCGUAGAACUUUCACUAGAGUUUGUCUCGUUCUGGUAGCAAUAGCUUGUGGUGAUAUAUUUAUCAAAAUCUUUCAUGAACGUUUUGGUAUGCUUGGCCUAAUAAAAUGAAAAAACAAAGAAAAAAAUGAAAUGAAUAUAUGCUUUAAAAAAUGAGUUAACUAAAUUAAAAUUUUUAAAGACUAAUAACUAAAUUAAAUUUUUUAAGACUAACCCUUCGCAAGCCUUCGCCGGUCUCAUCGUACUCCCCAACUAUCGGGUCGCCAAUGAUCAGACCACCAACAUUAUGAUCAUUUAUCUGCAUAUAAAAGUCGUUAGAGAAAUACAAUCCAUAAAUUUAUUUGCUUAAUAUAUUCUUUGUAAUUUUUUUUUUUAACAAAUUGAGCUACAAUUCAUGUUUCUUUUUAAAAUUAAAUUAACCAAAUAGUAUUUCUAAAUUUUAACACUCAAGUCCUGCUCAUUUUAAUUUUUUAUGUUAAUAUCAUUGUCCAUUAUUGAUCAUUAUGAAAAUUCUAAUAGAAUGUGGAAUUGUCAUUUUUACCCUUACAAAGAAACAACUGAAGGUUGAGGAUAUUUAAACCAUAAAAAUAUUCUUUGUACCACCUUUUAAUUAAAUAAUUUAUAUUAAAAAAUACUCAUUCAUUAAAUUAUUUUAUGGACGAAGAAUAAAUCUCUGUAAUUUACAACUAUUUAUUCUUUAUCCAUGCUAUCUUUCAUCUUGCACAAAAAUAACCAUUCGUAUAAACUAAAAAAGAAAAAUCCUUAGGAAAGGUGUAGUUCAAGAAUUUCUAGGGAAUAUGAAUGACAAGUUUAUAAAUAACAAAAUUUUAAGAGCUAUAAAUCUUAUAUUUGGAGCAUCUAUGAAAAAAUAACAACAUUUUCAAAUCAAACCACUACUUAGACCAAAGGACCUAUGUUAGGAUUAUUGUUGAUGAAAAAAAAUCUGUUUCUGAAAUAUGAUGGUUUCAACCAAAAUUAUUUUAUUAGGUUUGAGUUUAUGACAAGUAGAAAUUAAAAAAAAAAUGGAGGAUGAAGUUCAGGAGUGCUAAAUUGUUAUUUAGGAAUAAAGAAAGCAAAGGGACGAAGUUCGGUUUCCAUUUAGAUGAAGAUAUUAAUAUGCAAAUAAUAAAAUUUAAUUACAUAUAAUUUAAGAAGUAUGGGACAUGUUCAUUAAUAAUAUCAUUGAAAACAUUUAAUUUACGCAUCUACACAGUCACUUUGGUCAUAGUUUGUUAUUAUUGACAAAUUAAUAUAUUUUUGUCACAUAUUAUUUUUUUAUUGACAUAUUCAAAUAAUUUAUUUUAUAUUAAAGAGAUAUUAUGUUAUAAAAUUUUUGUUAUUAAAUCAUGUUAAUUUUUCAUGCAUUUUGGAAUUUGUACGUGAGAUUACAUUACUGCACAUACAAUGUCACUCAUUCUAAUAGUGAAAUUAGGUCGAUGGAUUCAAGUGUAAAAAUUUUUGAAACAAUCUGGACAUACAUGUUAAGAUUUAGAAACCUUUGACUCUUUUGAUUUUUCAGCAAACAUCAGGGAUGGCAAUGUUAGUAACCAUGCAAACACAUGCAUCUAAACCGUUAUGCAACUAUUUGGUUUGGUCUAAUGGUUAUAUCACUAAAUGAAAAACAAGGGGUACCUAACGUGGAUUACAAAAUAGUUGGACCUUAUAUAGAUGUUAAAUUAUUGUUUAUUUAUUUUGAAUAUCACUUUUACUACUUAUUCAUAGUUAUAAUAUUAUAAACUUACACGUUUUCUGAGUUGCUCCAGAUCCUGUGCUUUUGUAGUUUGUGUUAUAUGUCUGCGACAUUGAAAAAAAAUAGUGUUACACAAAUAAUUAAUUUAUAUUUUAUCUCUAACUAGUAUUUACUAUAAUGUGAAAAGCAAUUAUACCCCAAUGGUGUCAUUUCCACAUAAUUUUGCUCGAAGUUGGCUAGUGCAAGGCCGAUAUACUUAGAUCCAGGAUCAACAGCUAUAAUAUUUUUCUUAAGAGCUUUACAUUCUCUCAAAAGAUUCUUGGCAAUUUUGAGACUCAUUGAGGAUUUUAUUUUAAUUAACCAACAAAUUUUCUUUUUGCCAAACGAUUAUGCUUGUUUUGAUUUGUGCUCCUUAAAUUAGAUAGAUAAUCAUGUAUUUGAUCAUGUUUUUUUUUUAAAUAUAAAAGAAAAAAAUCAUUCAUUGUACAUGUAUUUGUGCUCCUUGAAUUAGGUAGAUAAUCAUGCAUCUGAUCAUGUUUUUUUUUCAAAAAUAUAAAAGAAAAAAAUUAUUUAUUGCACUUGUAUUUGUUUGAGGUUGAAUCACGACAUAAAACAUCUAUGCUAAUUUUUUUUUUUCAACAUCCAAUUAAAAUCCUGGUUCUGCCACUGAUUAGAAGACUUGGGUCAAUUUUAAAUUUUUGCUAGCAUGUGAGCGGAUUCAAGAGACAUUGUGAACUCAAGGAACAUCUCUAUUCAUUCCAUCAGCCCAUAAAUAUCACUAAUGACCCAAAAAACCUCAGUACGAGAGCUAGAGACACAAUUAAUAAGUUCAUGAGCCACUACACAAUUGGCUUGAUCAUCACCAGCAUGUUCUACCACUUUAUUAGAUCGGCCUGGAUUUGCUCUUGCCGUGCAAACAACAGAAUCCCAUCUAAAGUUAGAUUAAUUACAUCUUAUCCUUCAUUAAAAAAUAAAUAAAAUUACAUGUUAUCCUAGGUUGCAAUGUUAGAUUUCAUAAUUAAAGAAUAAUACUUUUAUAUUUGAAUUAUCUUUAUUUUCAAUUAUUUUUUAUAAUUAAUUUUUUAGAGUAUGUAUUCAUAGAAUAAGGUACUUUAUGUCCCAUUUUAUUUAAUAUACUUCUUUCUACUUAUGAAAUUUUAUGGUCAUAAUAAAAUAUUAAUUUUUAAUUUAGCCCAAGAUAAUAUAAAGCUUUGGGUCCGCCCCUGGUUAACUUAUUGACUAGCGACUAAAUAGACGAUGUUUGGGUUGCCUCUCCGAUGAUUGAAAUUUUUUUCUUUUUUUUUUGUGAAAAAAAGAAAAUACUCAAAUAGUUUUAUUUUUAAAUUAAAUUAAAGAAGUUGUUCUUACUGAAGUACAAGACGCAGUUCCUACGAAAUAAAAUUAAAGAAUGAAGAAGAUAGAAAUUGUAAAAGCUAGCUGCAUACACAGCUUUUGGGCAUGUAUUAAAGGACAAAUUAAUCAAGCACGCCACCAAAUUGGAACGCAUUCGUGAUUCACCCGAUGGUGAGUUGCAUAAAGGAGACUUUGCAUAAAAGUACAAACUCAUUAAUCAUUAAGACAUGAAGUAGUUGUAAUUAUUUAAUUGUAAUAACUUUAAUUAUCAACUUCUAAAAUUUAUGGUAACGUUAUCAAUAAAAUUCCGAAGGAUGAAAAUUGUCAAUCAGUCUCAUUAAUAACGGCAACUUCUUGCUCAAUGUCACUCGCUUUCACUCUUAAUUUUGAAUAUUUAAGUAGUUUUCUUAUUAAUUAAAUUGAAUAAGUUGUGGUUUGUGUGUAAUCACUCGAGUUUCAGCAAUAAUGAGUAGGGUUAGUGUUGGUAUUUGCACAAAAUUGUUAUAACUACAAUUAUUAAUAGUUGAAGAACACCAAAUUUAUUUAUUGAGUAGUGUUACACAUCUCAAAAUUUUUAUCAUAAAUGAUAUGACAUUCAUCAAAUUGAUUGGUGAGAUAUUACAAUUAAUUUACUUAAAUUUGAUAAGAAAUUAUGAAAUUUAAUGAAUGACAUGUUAUUUAGAAUAAACUUUGAGAUAAUAGGAGUCUAUUACCACUCUUAUUUUUUUAGACUUGGCUAGGACUGAAAAAUGAUGUUGAAUCGUUAAUAGGAAAACCAUUCAAGAAAACAUAGAACGACGAUGCAAGGUAUCAAGAAUAUUAAAAAAUAUGUUAGAGCCGGUUAGGGAUGGCAAUUGGCACCGCCCGCGGCGGGUUUGUCAUUAUCAAAGCCAAACCCACACAAAAUUUAAAUUACCAAACCCACCUGCAACCCAUAGCGGGUUUUAAUUUUUUUAAGAAAACCCACCCGCUAAGGAUUUUGACAAUUACCAAACCCGCAUUGGUAUCCGGCGGAUUUUUUGGGGAAUUUUUAUAUUUAAAAUCACAAAUGUUGAAUAUAUAAAUUUACAAUAAUAACCUCAAAUUCCACAUAACAUAUUCAAUUUUAAAUUUAACUAAUAUAAAUGAAAAAUUAAAAUUUCAACAUCAAUCCAACACAAAAUUUUAAAUUUUAAGUAUAAAAUACACAAAUCCAUUAAAAAAAACGACAAACUAAUAUCUAAAAAUAACAAUUACAUCUCAUAUUAUCAUUCAACACAAGCUCCAAGAAAGAUGUUCAUUUCAUUCACCAUCAUUAGCACCCAUCCAACAUGAUGCCUACAAUAAUGAUUAAGAUUAAUAUUUUCCAAAAAAUAAUAUUUUUCAAAUACUAAUCCGAAAAAACUUAUAUAAUGAACUAAUUCAUGCAUUAAGUUAAAGAAAAAUAGUCCAUACAAAAACAUUUUGGUUAUUUGGCACUUUGCAUUGUUAUACACACUACACUUGUUUAUACUUUGGUUAUUUGGCGCUUUGCAUAAUUGCAUUAUUUUCUUUAUAUAUUAAAUAUUUAAAUAUUUUUCAAUUAAAAAUAUUUAAAAAAUAUUGCGGGUCUAGCGGAUAUCCAUGUGGGUAUUCGCCGGAUAUUGGGCUAAUACCAAACCCACCCGCAUCCAAAUGCGGGUUUCAAUUUGUAAUACCAAACCCACCCGCAACCCACAAAAUUAUCCGAAGCAGACGGGUUUUGGCGGGUGGAUUUGGGCGGGUUUGUAGACACAAUUGCCAUCCCUAUAGCCAGUUAAAUGGAGAAAAAUUUUAAAUAGUUUUCAUAAAGCAUAUUUUUAUUUUUUUAUUGAGCAUAAAAAUUGCAUUAAUCUCAUGACAAAAGAGUAUAAAGUUCUACUAAAACAUUUUCCAGCUGAACUACAACACUAGUCGUCGAGGCGGAACUACAUUCACGCCUAGCAAGGGUUGCCAAGGUUUCAAAAUUUAUUUUUAAAAAAUAAUGUGAAAACUAAAAAGUUUUCAAAAUGAUCCCCAAUAUAUGUUUCAAGGCAACUCUCAAUUUUCUUCAUAUUUUCGCAACCCCUAAAUUAAAAUCUUAAUUCCACCACCGACUAGACGACUUUUGCAAAUUCUGCUAGCUUUUGAGUUGAUACUUUGCAAUUUCAAGAGACAGGUUGAACUCAAAAAGCACUCAUUCGUUCCAUCAGCAGAUGAAUAUCACUAAUGACCUAAACAAACCUCAAUACGAAAACCUUCAAUCAGCCACUACACAAUUGCGCUACUACAGUCAUUGAAUUCACAUGGCAACAACAUCCAUGGUUGUGCACGUUUUAGCUAGCGUCUUUAAUGCGCGCUCAAAUUUAAGUUGGCAAAAAUACAUGAUUUUUCUCUAAGCUCUGAUUUUAAUCUUGUGGGAAGGAGAUGAAUGAAAUACUAAUUUUUUUUUUUAAAGGGUGAAAGACCAAAAAAGAAAAAAGCAGUACUUGAAAAUUAUAAGCUCAAAAGUUGUUUAACUAGCAAUUCAUUCAUUUAUUUUUUUAGAAGGAAUAAUUCAUGAGUUUUCAAGUCAGCUUUAACGACAAUGAGAUGUGAAAAUAAUUGUUGCAUCUUUAGAAAGUAGUCCUCUUAUAAGAAUGCACACAUCCUUUUAAAGUACAGACGUUCAGAUUUUAUAAGCUCAUAUUACAAUAUAUUUAUGUAAUAUUCAGAAGUUUCAUCGAGAGUUUUUAAGUUACAUUUCACUCUUACCCCUCCUCAUCAUCAAAUUAAAUGUAUACCCUUAGAAUUGCACUUGUGACUUCUUGCUUCCAUUGCAAUGGUUAAGCCAAUUAUAUUCGGGAUUUAAAUUUACGUGAUUAUAAUACAUUCUCGAAAUGUAGCGAGACUAAAAUGAUAAUCUAAGCCUGUUAAACUAAAACCAAAACAAAUGGUUGAUCGUGAUUUCUUUUUCAUUAGAUUUUAAUACUAAUGUAUGCAUGGUGUAAUGUUUAGACAAAAUAGAUGGGCGCUUAGUGUUAUUUACUUAAUUUGAUAUCUAAUUUUGAGAACCACAUUGGACUGGUCCCGUUGGAUCUGACUGUCCAUGUAGUCUAUUUUGGUCUAAAUAGGGAUCAAACUUUGAUUGAACUUUGGACUCAAAUGUGGAAUCAGUUAGGGGUGGGCAUGAGUUGGUUUGUGUUAGAUUUUAAAACAAUCCGAACUAAAUUAUAAAAAUUUGGGCCUGACCUAAACCAACCCAAAUAUUUUUAACCCAGCCCAAAUAAUUCAUUUGGGUUUUGUUUGAAUUUUAUAAUCAAAAUAUUUUUUACUUUGAUAAAUUUAAUUAUAUCAAAAUUAUAAUAAUGAUUAAUUUUAUUAAUUAUUACAUUACUAUUAAAAUAUGAAAAAAUAUAGUGGAUAAAAAAUUAUAAAUAAUAGAUUUUACAAUAACUUUAUCCUUAAAUUAAAGAAUAUUAGAAAAUUAAAAUAAAAUUUAAUUACGAAAAUCAUUAUUUCUCAAUAAAUGAGAACGUAAACUUUAACAAUAAACUUUCACAAACAUGAUAUCAAUAAGUAAAUUAAAAGAAAGAAAAUAAAAAUUAGUGGUGUUAACCAUAUUAAAACACAAAUUCAAAUAAUGUCAAUACAAAUCAAAACAAGAUAAGACAUCCCAACUCAGAUAUCAAAGCAAUCCAUUAUAAUCAUUUCUAUCCACAGUACUUUAAUUAAAAUAACAACCACAAGCUAUACAUGUAAAGAUAGUUGUAUUAAGGCUCCCUUUGAUACAACUUUUCAAUACAACUUUUCAAGUAGAGAUUUUGAUAGUAGAGCUUUUACUUAAAAAAAUUUAGAUGUUUGGUUGUCAAUAAGAGCUUUUAUUAAAAAUUUAUAAAAUUACUUUAAUAGGCAAGUUUUUUUAAGUUAUGUUAUGAAAAUAAUGUCAAAUAAGUAGAGAAUAUUUUAGAUAUUUUAAUAUUUAAAAAAAAACUUUUCAACCUCUACUCUCAAAAGCUCAAAAUUUGAGAUUUUGUUAGUAGAGGCAAAAUAGCUUAUUUAAACUCUAAAAAUUCUAUAAAAAAAAUAACCAAAUAAAAACAAAAAUUAUGAUAAGAGCUUAUGGAAUUAAAUAAGCACUUAUGAACAUUACAUAAGCCAUACCAAAUAAACACUAAAUAAAUAAAAUAAAAGAGUAAAUGAAUAGAAUAUUUCAUGUAACUGAGCAAUCUCGAGCUGUUUACGAAUAUAUGUGGAAAGUGUCCUAAGUUUAAUAUAUAAAAUGGUUCUGAAUAAAGAGAAUUUGAAAGACGAAUUGAAAGAGCGAGCAGGCACUAAGAUUUCCUCAUUUCAAUCUCAUUCAGGUAUAUUUGAUUAGUAAAGUGAAAGACCCCGAGUCCGAGUCCGAGUCCGAGUCCGAGUGUCCAACUAGAAAAUUCAUUAAAUACGCACCUUCUAACCGACUCAAUCCCACCACAAGGGACCCACAAAACCCACCCAACCAAACAAAACUGCCUUUUAAGUCUCAUUAAGUCUCUGUUCUGUUUUGGUCAAUCGAAUUCCUCUGUCCUUUCUGCGCAACAAAAUCACAAACGAUGUUGCGCCAUGCCUCUAACCUCGCCUCCAAAGUCAGGUGCACUUCUCCUUCACAGUUUACCAAAUUUUUAUUUUGUUUACUUUGUUUUCCUUCCACUUCUCUCAUUUUGUUUAUGUUAGUUAAUUUGAUUUUGUAGGUUGCUUGAUAACAAUUUUCAGCCGGUGAUGAUUCAUUCAUUCAUUCAUUAGUGUUUUUUGUUUCCUUUUUUCAAAUAAUAAUAACUAAUUCUGGCUUGGCUUAUUCAGUUCAAUUGAUUAAUUUCGUUGAGUUAAUUUCGUUGAAUUUAAUUCUGUGUCAGGUUCAUUUAACUCGGAGCAGACAGUAUACCGCGGCGGAAGUCACUAAAAGAUUUUUUGAUUGUGAAACAUCUUCUGGAUUUUCUUAAUUAAGAAAUUAGAUUUGCUGUGAAUGGGAAUGGAGUUAAUUAAUGGAUACAGAUCAUCUGAUCAAAUUCAAUUUACAUCUAUCUUCUGUCUGCAGGCACCAAUUCUAAAGUUAAAAGGGAUCUCGUCGAAGCCCUGAUUGAUGGAGAAUUUUAUAUGCGGGAGGAUGCGGAAGUGCCAGACCAAAGACAAGGGGCUAGAAUGGCAAUUGAUGCACUUGUGGGAAAUUUAUACAGCACAGCACAACCCAUCACAUCAUUCGAACAAAUAGCCCUGGUUUUCUUUAAUGAUAAUCCACAGAAAUAUAUUUCAUUUUGACGCCUUUUUUUUCCCAUUUUAAAUUGAAGUUUGGAACGGCUGCAGCAAAUGGUGACAGAGUGAUUGGCGAGCUCAUAGCCAAGGCUUUUGAGAAAGGUUGGGGAAACAAUCUUCAUGUUUUAGCUGUAAGUUGCUUCUUGAACUUUUCAUCGUCUUUACUUUUUUCUUAUCUGCUGUGCCUCUGAUUCGGUUGUUAUGUUUCAGAACCUUCCAUUUUGUUUCCUCUACUGUUUUAUGUUUAUUUUCUACUGCCUCACUACUAUUGCAGGAUCGGAAAACACCACCCAGUAUUGAACUUCAGUUGUAUUGGGGAAUGACCCUAGACAGGGGCUAUUUGUCACCUUACUUCAUCACCAAUCAUAAGACGAAAGAAUGUGUAAGCAUUUUGAGAUAUCAAUAAAUUAAUUGACAUUUUAUGAGAAAUUUGUGAUUCUAUAAAGGAUAGAUAUAUUGACAAUGAAGUAAUUGAGAUUGCUUAGUUCUUACCUUGAAGAUAUAACUUUGGAUCAGCCUUGUUAUUAAUCAACUAGUGAUUUCAUUUUUACUAGGUUUUACGAGAUCCUUAUAUCAUGAUCCUUGAGAAAAAGGUUUCGAACUGCGUCUUCUUUGACUUAUUGACAGAGAUUGGACCAGUUAGAAGAUAUAAUGGCACAGAUGUACUGAUCAUUGCUGAAGAUAUUGAAAAUGAUCUCCUAGCAAGUCUUGUCUUAAAUGGAGUGGCUACAGCAACCAAGGUGAACUUAUACUUGACAGUGUUUUGCUGUUAAGAGAUGGCCUACUUGAAGAAUCUUCUAUCAUUCAAUUAUUCAUUUAAUUUUACAAAGUGAAGUUUCAUAUGUCUUCUCAUUUUUUGUGGGUUCUGAAUUGCUUGAAGGCUUGUGUCAUAAAACCUCCUGGAUUUGGAGAAAGUAGGAAGGCUAGCCUUCGGGACAUUGCCAAAUUCACAUAUGGGAAGGUUGGUUCAUUUGAUAAAUGCUCCACCUUGCUUUGCAUGAUUAUUAUGUGAUUUACAAAACAAUGUGUUCCUUUCUUUCUCUUUUAGGUCAUGACAGGAAAAGAUUUUGAAUGCGUAUCUCUUGGCCAUGCUGAGAAGGUGAGAGAUAUCAGAUAUCAGUGACUGGUAUAUAAUUUUCUUUGGUGUGAAAAAAAGAUUUAUUUUACCUAAGUAGAGCACAUCAUGAGAACGUUCUUCUCAUCCUUGUUUCUGGUGGACUUUAAUCCUUUCUUCUGGUACAACUUUGGCAUAGUAAUAUAUUAAUUUUCAUUUCCUUGUGUAUAUUGACAAGAGAGACGAGGUUUUGCUCAAACAAUGUCUUAGCCCUCUUUUAUCAUUGUAGAUAACGGUAUCAAAGGAUCAGACGGUUAUCCUUCUUUGUAAGGCUUGCAUAGGACACGAAAAGGUCUGUGUUGUGACAUUUCACAUGAUUUUCCAACAAGUUAUCAGAAUUUUCAAUUGUGUUUAUAAUUUGAAGCGACUCUGCUUUUCAGUUUAUACUGUUUGGCUCUUUUGUGCUUCUUUGGGCUGUUUCUAUAUUUUUGGACAACUUGCUUACCCUUUCGCUAAUUUUCUUUUCUUAAAUAUGUCUGUUGCAGUUGUUACAGUGGAGAUUCACAAUGGAAAAUUUACAAGAUUUCCCUGAAGAGAGCUGUACAAAGCACUCUUAUCUCGCUGCUGUUAUAAAGGUUUGGUUAUUUGGAAUUGUAAAUUAGUUCUUCAAGAGCUUUGAAACUGACUUGUGCUGGGCAUAGAAUGAAAGUUCUCAGCCUAACAUGACCUAUUAGCACGAUCCAUUUGGGCCAAGUCAUGACCAGGUCUAAACUCUAAAUCCUGGUUGGCCAGCCAAGAAAUUUGAAUUUUCUUUUAUCUGCUAUUAAAAAAGUUGAAUAAACUCAUUUAUAGGGAGGAUCAAUGAUCAGGUCAUUUUGGAUAAAAUGAUUUAAUUAAUUGACUAAUUCUUUGGAUUCAUAUUACAUUCCCAUCUUCAUAUGAUUAUAAUUGAAGUAUAGAGUAGACUGAUACCGUACAAAUACUUUGAUACUUUAAAAUGGGAAAAAGAGAAGAAAAACAGUACCAAACAGUCAAUUAGACAUUAUAAUAUAUGUGAAGUUUUGGAACUGGAUUUUGGUAGAAGUAUAUAUUCCUUGCUAAUAGGAACGUGCCAAAGAUGAAUUCAAUUUGCUUGUUUGGUUACAGUAAUUGCAUUUAGAAGACAUGACUGCAUCUUAUUCUGUUGUUGCAUCAUGCUAUAAAUGAAAUUUGGCUCGUUGAGAUGAAAGAUUGUUGAAUUAGAGAUGUUAGGUAAGGAAGUAUUCUGAUUUGAAAUGAAACGGGUGCUGUUGUUGUAAGGUCUGUGGAAGUAAUAAAGCUGAAGUGCGUGAAAAGAAGGAUAGAGUUGCUAAUGCCAUAAAUGCUGUCAAGGCUGCAAAGGAAGGAGUUGGUAAACCUCUUAUAUUUUUGGCUUUUGUUGGUCUAUCUUGUUUGAUUGAUGCAUGACAUACAAAUGUUAUAUGUAUUCUGAUGCAUUUGCAGUUAGUGUCAUGUCACUUUUAUAUGCCUGCAAGGAGUUGGAUAAAUUGCAAACUGCUAACCAUGGUCAGAAGAUUGGUGUUCAAGCUAUCCAAUAUGCUCUUGAGGUUUUCUUUAUUCUUCUUUUUAAUUAUGUAUGUGAUAUUUCUAAAAGCUCUUAUUGUCUAUCUGUCUAAAGGCAGAGGGCUGCUAAGAUUAUUCCUCGUUGAAAGGUGAAAAGUGACAUAUACUUCACAAAAUGCAUGCGUGGUUUUCGUUAUGGGGCAUGAGCCUUAUCUUUUAUGUAUCUCAAGAGUGAAUCAUGGUAGAGAAUAUUGGUAACAAAAUGUCUAGUUUUUCAGAGCCUUCUGAUUGGUUGAGCCUGCAUCUGCAGAUGCUGGUGAGCGCGAUUGCUUAUAGCGCUGGAGUUGAUGGGUCAGUUGUUAGCAAGCUACUCGAGGGAUCCAAGCCUAAACCCCUCGGUAAAGGUUUGCGUCUGUUUCCCCCUUUUUCGAAUAAUGGAAAUUUGAAAAGGAAACGAGUGAAAUUCGAGGGUUGGGAAUUAAGGUGAGGGUACUUUGAUCUACAUUUGUGUCAGGUGAAAAUGCAGAUAUGCUUAUGCCAGAAAUUGUUUUUCCAUUGAAAACCAUAAGAGCAGUCUUGGUGGAGGCUACAAGGUAACUAGUUAUUUAAAACCUUUAAGCUUAUGCUAAUUUUUUAUCUAAGCACAUAUUAAUUCUUUCUUCUUGUGUAGUGAGAUGUUAGCAAGACUUUGAAAUUGAGGCUCUUAAGGUGGCUCAGCUUGUCUUUCCAAGAAUAUUUGCAAAGAAAGUUCCAGCUGAUACAAGCCUCCAGAGUAAAACAAAGGCGUAAUGGAGGCUUCUAUCAGCUUUCACUGGGUGCUGUUAUGGUUACGGUGAUUUAUAAUCCAAAUUCUCAUGGCACAUUAUAUUUAUUUAUUAUUUGUUUGAAAAGCAUACAUUAAGCUUUUUCAUAAACUAUACACGAACAAGAAACGGAAUAUAUUGGUCAUCAGGAGUUGCGCCUUAGAUAAAUAAUACAUGGAUGCUCCAACUUCUUAUAUGCAGUUUAUUUUUUUUCUUUUUCCCCUUAUUUUCCCUUUUCUGUUAGAAGCAAAAAUAUUCUCGACAUCCCAUUUCUAAUCUAUGUAUAUAAUAUCCCUCCAAUAAAAUGUUGCCAGAUUAUGAUUGCUAUUACCAUUAGCAAGAGGUGAGUGGUAGAUUUGUUGUUUUGUUGCAAAAUUAAUAUGUCAACUUUAUUGCAAACUUUGCCCUUGAAAUCGGAAGUCUUCUAUUUUUUUUUUAAUUUUUUGAAAAAAUAAGAAUGGUAUUUAAAUAAGAAGGGAUAUCGACGGAAUUGAACUGAUGGUGUGCUUGUUUAUCAGUCACAUUCUUGUUUAUUUUUCAGAAAAUACAAUCCAUAAUAAGAAUCAAUUUUAUAGGACCACUCAAAAUGAGAAUGUGGAAUAAAAAUCUCAUUUUCUAAACUGGUCUUUUUUUUUUACCCUUACUGAUAUUGAAAUUCAAAAAUUUCUUUUUCACCCCCAUAUAAAUACAUAAAAAAAAUCAAUUACUUCAAUAAUUUUAUUAUUUAAAAUUAACAUUUAUAAAAAAUUAUUAUAAAAGAAUUUUUUUUUUCUGGAAAACUAGUUUAGCGUAAUAUUAUUAAGAAAUAUACAUACAUUUUAGUUUUAUUAGUUUAGCUCAAUUUUGCUUUUUUUUUUUUUGGAAGUCAGUGUUUUAUAUUUAUUUUAGUGCAUGUAAUAUGUAAAAAUAACUUGAUUUUACCUAUUUUGAUAAAUUUACGUUAUUUUGGAUUUAAAUAUAAAAGGUAUUAAAACUCCAUUUAUAUCAGUUUUUUUAAUUAUUAAUAAUGUUCUCUUUGAGAAGGAUAUAAGUCUUCCAUCACUUUCAUUUUGUGUCACAUUAUAAUUUGUGAUACAUUUGGCAACUCGCAUUACAUUGUAUUGCAAUUGCAUUAAAACACUACUCUUAUGCUAACUCAUGCUUGGUUAAAAUUUUUAGUUGCAUUGCACUACAUUUAAAAGUUGGCUAAUAUAAGAAAAGGUGUAUAAAAUAGAUUCGCAGGGGAGACGGUGGUAGGGUUUCAGCUGUAUUAUAUUCAAACAUUGUUUAUAUUUUAAUUAUAAUCAUAUAACUUUUAUUAUUUAAUGAAUUAUAGGAAAUUUAAAUUUAUUAUAUAUUAAUUUAUAUUUAAAUAAAAAUUUAAUUUAAUUAAUAAUAAAAGAUAGUAACACACCUAAAUAUUUAAUAAUAAAUAAUUAUACAUUAUUUUAUUUCAUUAAAUAUAAUCAUUUUAAUUAUUUACUUUAAAUAUGAAAAAAGUAUUUUAAUUUUAUUUUAUCAUUUAUUAUUCAAUAAAAAUUAAUUUAUAACUUAAUAUCAUAUUGUUUUAUAAAUAUAAUAUAAUUUAAUUUAAUUUAUAUUAUGUAAUUAUAUAGUAUUAUACUUUUAAAUAUAAUAUUAAAUUUUACUACAUUAUAAUAUGAUUAUACUAUAUUCCAAUAACUAAUAUAUAGAGAUAAAUUAGAUUAUAAUAUAAUAUUAUUAAUAUUAUAACAUAGUAUUGUAGUGUUUUAUUAUUUAAUCAUAGUAUAUGAUUAAAUCAUGUUUAUUAUAAAAUUAAUAUAUAAAAAUAAUUAUUUAAUACUUAAUUUCAAUAAUUAAUAAUGGAAUCCUAAAAUAUUAAUAAAUUUAAAUAAUAUUAAUUUAAUUUUGGCAUCAAUAUAAAAAUAAUAUUAUUAUCAUAAUAUUGUCUAUGUUGCGCCAAACAUAAUAUUGCAAUGUAGAUAUCCUAAUGCAAUACAUCGUAACACAAUACAAUUAAUGCAAAAAGUGUGCCAAACAAAUCCAUAAAGCACAAAAAUUAAAGAAAGUGAAAGGACAAUAAAAACAGGCAAAAAAAUAAAAACAGGUCGUAUUCUUUAGUCAAGACUCAAGGGUGGAAAUUGAUACUAUUUGCAAUUAUUAGGUGGAAAAUUGAUUUUCUUUUUCCCAAUGGAUAUAACAUUGAUGGAUGAUACAGAUUUUAUACAGUUGGCGCAAAAUUGAAUUAAUUUAAAUUUUUGUAGCAUUUUCUAUAUUGGAGUAAUAUUCAAAUCAACAGCUGAUAAUAUCUUUAAAUUUCAAUAACUUUAAUUAGCAUCAUCAACAAUCAGUUGAAAUGUUAUCAAUAUAAUUCCUCGGGAGGAAAAUUGUCGGCUAGUCUUAUUAGUCAGCACGAUUUCUUGAGUCAUUAUCACUCAGACUCACUCUUAAAUUUGAAUAUGUAAGUAGAUUUCUAAUUAAUUAAAUUGAAUAGUUGUGUUUUGUACCUGUGAUCACUUGAAUUCCACUAAUAAUUAUUAAAAGUUGAAGAGCAUCGAAUUUAUUUAUUUUUUUAAACUUGUCGAGGAUUGAAAAACAUUGUUGGAUCAUUAAUAGGAAAAUCAUUCGAAAAAACGUAGAAUGAGGAUGCAAGACAACAAGAAUAUUAAUAAGUAUGUUAAAGCCGGCUAAAUUAAGAAAAUUUUAAGUAGUUUAUGUAAAUCAUAUUUCCAUAUAUUUCUAAUAUUUUAUUGCAUAAAAAUUUCAAUAGUUUAAGUAAAGAUUUUUUCAGAACCGUAAAGAGCGUACAAAAUAAAACUUAAUGAUAAAUUAUUUGAAUCCUCAUAACUCACUUGACCCACUUUUUAGGUUAAAAAAAAGAAAAUUAUUAAAUUGCCUCUAACAUAAAAUACUAUUAUAGAAUUAAUACGUAAACUACAUGCUCUCAUCUUUGGAUCGACAAUCUCUAAAUUUGUUUAAUUUUUACGUACACAAACACACAUAGUAGUUUUCUGGUCCAGAAUUUUAAAUUGCGGGAAAAUCCAGAAAAACUUCAAAAUCGCAUAAUUUUAAAGUAUUAUGAAAUUAACACUUUAAAGCCGCAGGGUUUUAAAACUUUCUCGGACUUUCCUGUAUUUUAAAAUUCUAAAUUGGAACAUUUACAUAUAUAUAUGUGUGUGUGUGUGAGAGAGAGAGAGAGAGAGAAUCUUGGAUUUGUUAAAGUUUGGAAAAGCUAUUAAGUCACAACGCAAUGGUAUUAUACUAUUAAACUUCACAAUUUAAUGACUUUUCUACACCUUAAUAAAGUUGCUUGAAAACCUCUAGUGGAUGCCUGUAAUAACUCAAUUAAUAUGUCAUCUUGGGCACAAAAGAAGUAAAAUUCUUGCCCAAUUAGGUAUUGGAGAACUUGAAAGAUUAAACAUACCCACUUUUAUUAAUGAAAGCUCUAAAACACUCAACUUUCACAAACACUUACAAGCUUGCUUCUUUUUCUUCUUUAAAUUUGAUCUCUUAUUUUUGUGACACUGACAAUACAAAUAACAAGGAUAUUUAUAAUCCCCAAAACUCAAUACAAAUCACACAUAUAAACUAAAUAAAUUUGAUCGCCACCAUUCAUUUAUUCUUAACCACCACACUAAUCUCAACCUAACUCACUCCACUUCACCUACAACACCUAACAUAUUUUACUAAUAAUUUAGACAACAUAUUUUACUAACAAUUCACACACCUAACAUAUACUAAGACAAAUUUGUAUUCAUAACUCUACCUCUGAGACUUAUUUUACAAUGCCUAGUAGAGUUCUCAACCUAAUGAAGUCUUUUUACUUUAGCGGCUUGGUAAGAUAUCAGUAAUGUAAUCAUGUGAUAUGACAUACUUUUCUUGUACUUUCUUUCUUUCAAUGUAUUCACCUAUGAGAUGAUAGCGAGUGUCGAUAUGCAUACUUCGAUCAUGAAAAAUUGGAUUCUUGGAUAGUGCAAUUGUUGACUUUUUAUUGAUACAAAUUUUGAUUGGCUUUCUUUGCGGCAAACUCAACUCCUUCAACAAAUUUUUUAGCCAAAUUGCAUGACAAACAGAUGAUGUGGUAGCUACAUACUCAUUUUGAUAGGUGGAAAGUAUGACAAUUGGCUGCUCAUUUGACAUCCAUGUGAAAGCAGUGUCUGCCAUAAAAAACACGAAUCCUGUAAUGUUCUUUUGAUCAUUUGUAUCUCUACCCCAAUCACUAUCGUUAUAUAUAACAAGCUCGUAGUCAUUGAAGAAUGAGUAUAAGAAGCCAAAAUCAAUUGUACCUUUAAUAUAGCAAAGGAUUCUUUUUUCAACUUUAGAAUGGGUGGUCUUUAAAUUCUCCAUGUAUCGAUUCACAAGUCCAACAAUAUAAAGAAUGUAAGGUCUCGUGCAUAUCAAAUAGAGUAAGCUUACAACCAAACUUUUAAAGAAUAUUGGAUUUACACUUUUGACUUCAUCGUGUUUAGAUAGCUUGACACUAUAUACCAUUGGCGUAUUUAUGGGCUUGCAAUUAUGCAUCUUGAACUUGGUGAGUAUUUCCCAUGUAUAGUUUUCUUGGUAAAUGAAUAUGUCUUUUUCCUUUACUUUAACUUUAAUGCUAACCUAGUAUGUCAUCAAUCCAAUGUCAGUCAUUUCGAAUUCUUGGUCAUCACUCUUUUGAACUCUUUAAAUAAACUUCGAUUGCUUCCACUGAAAAUGAAAUCAUUCAUGUACAAGCAUAAAAUCAAAAUAUCUCUAUUUUUAACUUUCACGUAGAGAGCCUAUUAUUAUGGACAUUUGGUGAAGCAAUUCUCCUAAAAAUACUUAUUUAUUCUGCUAUUCCAUGCCCUUGGUGCUUGCUUUAAACCAUAAAGGGUUUUCUUAAAUCUUAGAACUUUAUCUUCUUGUCUUUUCACAAUAUAGCCCAAUGGUUAUUCAAUUUAGACUUCAUCUUCAAGAAAUCCAUUUAAGAAAGCUAACUUUACAUCCAUUUAAAAAAUCUUUCAUUUCUUUUGGACUACCAAAGAAAUGAAUAGUUUAAUAAUCUCCAAUUGGGUUACAAUAGCAAAUAACUCAUUAAAGUUGAUUCUAGCUUUUUUUACUAUAACCUUUUACAACUAGGCUUGCUUUAUGCCGUUUGAUCUCUCUUUUGACAUUUCUCUUCGUCUUGUACACCCAAUUGACACCCGAUCGCCUUGUGACCUUUGGAAAAAGUAACAAGUUCCGAAGUGUGAUUCUUCAUGAGAGCUUUGACUUCUUCAUUCAUUGUUUUUCUCUAUUUAUUAACUUAUACAACUUGUUGGAAGUUUAUUGGCUCACAAUUGGUAAAAAGGCAAAAGAAAAUAAGAUUAUCAAGUUUUUCAGUUAUCUUAUAGAAUUCUUGUAAACUUCUUGUGCAUGUCACAUCUCUUUCCUCUAAAAAUGACGUCACAUAAUGACACUAGUGGAGGUCAAGAAAAUAUGCGGUAUCUUGAUACAGGUCUUAGCAAUCACAUGAGCAGAAAAAGAAGUAUGUUCGUAAAACUAAAUGAAUCUGUAAAUGGGAACAUCGCUUUUGAGGAUGAUUCAAAAGUAUCGGUAAAGGAAAAAGGUAACAUCCUUUUCAGAACAAAAGAUGAUAGUUGUCAAAUUAAUUUUGAAAAUUUUAUUAUGUGCCCAAUAUAAAAGGCAACAUCUUCAGUUCGAAUCAGCUUUUGAAGAAAGGCUAUGACAUUUACUUAAAAGAUUAUAGUCUUAAGAUGAUAACGAAAAUCUAAUUACAAAGGUGAAAAUGUCUAAGAAAAAAUGUUUCCUUUAAAUAUUCAAAAUGGUAUUGCAAAAUGUCUCAAGGCUUGUUAAAGAUCUAAUCUGGAUUUGGCAUCUUUGAGAUGGACAUUUCAACUUUAAUGGAUUAGUGCUACUAUUAAAGAAGAAUAUUAUGAAAGGCCUACUUUCAAUCAAAAAUCCCAAUCUAGUUUGUGAAGGAUGUUUACUUGACAAGCAAUUUAGAAAGAGCUUUCCAAAAAAAUCAAGCUCAAAAGCUCAGAAGCCACUCAAGUUUAUUUAUACUGAUGUGUAUGGUCUAACCAAGCCAAGCUCACUUGGUAAAAGUAACUACUUUCUUUUCUUUAUUGAUGAUUUUUCAAGAAAAACUUGGGUGUAUUUUUUGAGGUAGAAGUCAAAAGUUUUUCAAGUAAGAGAUUACCCAAUGCGUUUUUGGCAAAAGUUGUUGUAUGUACAGUCUAUCUAUCCAACAAAUCUUCAACAAGAAGUUUAUAAGGCAAAUACCACAAGAAGUGUGGAGUGGUAAAAAGUCAUGCAUCUAUCAUCUAAGAGUUUUUCGAAGUAUAGCUCAUGUAUAUGUACAAGAAGAGAGAAAAACUAAGCUGGAUGAUAAAAGUGAGAUGUCCAUCUUCAUUGGCUAUAACAACAAUUAUAAAGGAUACAAACUGUACAAUCCAAACAACAGAAACAUCGCGAUUAGUUGAGAUGUAUUUUCUUAUAAAGAAAAAGAAUGAGAUUUUGGUAGUAAAAAUGUACAAUCUUAUUAUUCUCCUCUUGAUCAUAGUUCACUUUUUCAUCAACUCUAGUACUUUGAACUCUAUAUUUUGAAGCAUAAUGCCCAAACUUUUGACAAUUAUAGCACUGUACUUGGGAUUUGUCAUAGCUUAAUCUUGGGUUGCCUCUUCCUCAUCCAUUGGUCGAGCUUUCUCCACUUUUAUAGCUUGAGUUGUUGGUGCUGAAAUUCCAACCUCGUUUACGACUGUAGCCUUGGCCUCGUAUGUCUUUUCUCAUUGUCCGAGCUUUCUUUUCUUUUCUUUGGAUUAAUUUCUUUUCCAUCUUAAAGAGUUGUUCUCCAAUCCUUUAUUUCUUUUUGAGUUUUUCUUCAUAGACUUGCAACGUUUCAUGAAGUUGCUCGAUUGUCAUAACGUCUAAAUUUUUUGUUUCUUCAAUUGCCACAACAAUAGAGUCAAACUUCAAAUCCACCUAAUGAAGUAUCUUUUCAAUGAUCCUUACUCCUUUUAGCUCUUCACCAUUUCUUUUUAAUUCAUCAGCAAUAGUUACAACAAGAGUAAAAUAAUUCGAAAUACAUUCGAAUACCUUCAUAUGCAAGGAUUCAUAUCAUUCUCUUAAUAUUUGGAGACAAAUAUUCUAAACUUGUUUUGCCCCUUUUUAAGAGGUUUCUAACUUCUCCUGUGCUUCAUUUGAGGAGAUUGAAUUGGCAAUGUUCUCAAAAACAUUUUCAUUUAGUGAUCCAAAGAUGAGAUAUUUUGCUUUAUUUUCUUUCUUUUUUAAGUCUUUCAGAUUCUCCUUUUGCACCUCUGUUAAAGUAGCUUUAUUUUCUGGUAGAAUAAAACCUUUGUUUAAAACGUCUCAUACAUCAUGUGUACCAAUAGAGCCUUUAUUUUGAUACUAUAGUUGUCGAGUUUACUUCCCUUAAAUUGUGGAACUUGAAAGGACAGUAUGCUAAUAUUACUAUAACUCACAAAUUGAGUGAGAAUUUGAAGAUUUUGAGCAUACAAAUGAAUCCAAAAUGUCCAAAACCUUAGGACAGAUUCAUAUGAAAAUGUGAUUUUCGGUUAAUAGUCAAAGUCAACGAUCAACCACUGACUAGUCAACAGCUUGGUGUGGCCAACGGCUUACGACUCAACAGCUUAGUCAAUCGACUUGUGGCUUAAUUACUUGGCUCCGCUCUGACUCGGCUUAACUCAGUCUGACAUGACUUGACUCAGCUCAACUCAGACAACUUUUUCAAAUCAACUCAAUUUCUGGACAGAAAACUUCCUACAGUGAUUAUGGGUGUGUUAGAAUUCCGAUCAUGUUGAUUUUUGCGGCUUCAUGUUCACCUCAUUGAGAUCUUCUAUUUGAUAUGCUGCACGACUAUAUGUAGCACUGAUUACUAGUUCUGAUACCACUUUGUUGGAGAACUUGAAACAUUAAAAACACACCCUUUUAUUAAUGAAAGCUCUAAGAUACUCAAUUAUAAAUUAUUCACAAUACAAAGACUCAACUUUCGCAGACACUUAGGAGCUUUGCUUCUUCUUCUUCUUCUUCUUUAGACUUGAUCACUUACUUUUGAGAUACUAAAUAUAUUUUUCUUUUUCAUUUUAACAUUGAUGUGUAUAUUAUAUAAUAACUACAUUUUGACUAGAUUUUAAAGUUUGUUCUCUAUGUCAAGUGCGCAUACCUUUUAAAUCUCUCAUGAAUCUACCUAGAGAUAAAACCUAUUAAUGAGUGAUAAAGUAGAGUUAAAAAUUUUUAUUCCAAUUUCCUUCCUAAAGGAUGUGUCAUGUCAUGUAUCAUUCAUUGAGUAGUUGAUAAUUAUCUAUAAGAUUCAAGUGAAUUAAUUAUAUUGUCUCACCAUCCAAAUGAUAAAUACCACAUCAUUUGUGAUAAAAAUUUGGGAUCUAUACCAGUAAUGUUUAAAAGGUAAGGAGUAGGUAAAAUAUAAAUUCAUUUUCAACAAUUUAUAAAAUAUAAAUUCAUUUUCAACAAUUUAUAAAAUAUAAAUUCAUUUUUCUAAUAUUUAAACCGAAUGUUCAACCAACUUGCCAAAUAAAACUGCCUAAUAACCUUUUGGCGAUGCCUUGGGCAUUAAUAACUCAACGAAUANNNNNNNNNNNNNNNNNNNNNNNNNNNNNNNNNNNNNNNNNNNNNNNNNNNNNNNNNNNNNNNNNNNNNNNNNNNNNNNNNNNNNNNNNNNNNNNNNNNNUUUUCAAUUCAAAGAAAUGAUUCGGUCAUGAAUGAGUGCAAGCUCAUUUUGUGAAGAGUGAGGCUACUUACAUAAUAUGGGCAUACCUAACAAAAUUCCAAGAGGGGCUUUAGCUUCUUCUGUUAAAUGUGUCUCAAACUCCUUUUGAAAGAGUUAAAUAAAAAGAAUUUGAGCACAAUUUCUAUAUGAAAAAAUACUUAUAGUUUUGUGGUAAGAUUGCUAUUUAGAGGUUUUGAAGAGUUGAUUCAAAUCCCAAUAACCAUUUACUACAAAAGGAAUAUUUUUACAAAUGUGGCCACAAGAGCUCUAACAUUUAAAAUAAAUAAUUUAUUGCUAUGAUUUUUCAAAAUUUAAAAGAAAAUAAUAGAAAUUAAGUUUUUGAGACUUUCAAUGUGUUAAGUGAACAGUAAAAAAAUUAAUUAUCCCAAAUUAAAUUAAUUUUUUUUUCUCUGAGCCACCAAUAAUUUAAGUGUUUGAGUUUGCCACUGCUUGUGUUCUUAAAAUUAUUUUAAACUUUCUUAAAAUUAUUUUAAACACUUUAAUUUUAAUAAAUAAAUUUAUUACAAAAAUAUUCAUCAUGAUAAUAACUAUUAAAAGCAAUUUAUUAUCAGUUAAUAUUAUAUAAUUUCAUAAAAUCUAUUUCAUUGAAUUCGAACUAUAUAAGAAAGAGAAAAGUCAUGCCACGGACAAAUAUUGCACGAUUGAAUUUAGUUGUUUAAUCGAUUAUUGAUUACAACUAUAAUAUUAUUAUUACUUUAUUUUUCCAUGAUAUUAUAUAUGUUUUAUAGCGGUUUAAUGACAACAAUGGAUGAAAAAAUUAAUUCCACUUAAUAAGUUGAAGGAUUUGGUUUUUGGUAAUGAACAAUUUAAGGGUUGGAAAGAUGGGAUUUGGUUUUUGGUAAUGAACAAUUUAAGGGUUGGAAAGAUGGGAUUUGGUUUUUGGUUAAAGAUGGCCAAUGGGCCGGGCGACAUAGGCAUCGCAUGUGUUUGUACAACAUGGCACGACACGAGCAUAUUUAGGCAAGGCACACAGCACGGCACGCACAUGGGUCGUGUCGGGCCUAGAGUUUUAGGCAUGCGGGCCUUAUAAGUACGAUUAGAGAUGGGCUAAAACGCGGCAUGUGAAAAGGCACGUAAUAAGCACGUUUUAUUAGUGGGCUAACACACAGCUCGUGGGCCAAAGUAUAUCAAAGUAAAAAUUUUUAAUAAAAAAAUAAAUAUAAAAUAUUAUGAUUUUACAAAUAUCUGGAAAUUAAAUUUUUUAAUAUAUUUUUUUAGUAUAGGCUUUUAAAAAUUAAUUUAAGUCAUAGUUUAAACAAAUAUUCUAAUUUGUUUUAUGUUUAUAAUGUAUUAAAUGAAUAAAUUAAGGGAAAAUAUCCACUGUCCACCCGUUUUUUUCAACAUUUUCAAAAAUACACAAUUUCUUUUUUUUUUUUUACUGGAAUCCAUCUAAAGUUACAUUUUUUUUCACUUUUCCACUUCCGUUUGGAAUCCAUUAAGAAAACUAACGGAAACUUUAAAAAAUGACCAUUUUACCCCCCAAAACGAAUACCAAAAAUAAUCAAAUUAAAUCUAAAUAUUUUCCCUAUCAGUUAAUAAAUAAAUUAAUUCCACAACCAUCAAAUGUAGGUUUUUUUUUAAAUAUGUCUGUAAUUAGAAUGCUAAAUUAUAAUAAUAGUAUUAAAAAUAGCCCAAUUUCGCAAACUAUCAAUUGAAUAAUAAAUAGAGUUUUAUUAUUUAUUGAGUUAUAAUCUCUAGUGGUUAAGAUUUUUUUAUACUUCAUUAACGUACCAAUAAUGAUAUUUAUCAUUAAAUCUGAUUAUUUUUGGCAUUUUUUAAGGUGAAAUUGUAAUUUUCGUUUUGGGGGUAAAAUGGUCAUUUUUUUAAGUUUCUGUUAGUUUUCUUAACGGAUUCCAAACGGAAGUGGAAAAGUGAAAAAAAAUGUAACUUUAGGUGGAUUCCAGCAAAAAAAAAAAAAGGAAUUGUGUAUUUUUGAAAAAGUUGGAAAAAACGGGUGGACGGUGGAUAUUUUCUCAUGAAUUAAUAUCAUGAUUUUAAUAAAUAAAAUUAUAAAUAUCAUGAUUUUAUAAAUAAAAUUAUAAAUAUCAUGAUUUUAUAAAUAAAAUUAUAAAUAUCAUGAUUUUAUAAAUGAUAAAUAAAAAAUUUUACGACAUUAAUAUUUCAUUUAUGAAAUCAUAACUUAGUUAAUAGUUAAUGGAGAUAUGUUUCAUUUGUGAAUGAAAUAUUUUUCAUAUUUAUACAUAUAAAAAAAUUAUGAACGAAAUAUUUUUAUGAUAAAUGAAAAAUUAUAUUUUCAUUCAAAGGAGUUCAAGUGCAAUUAUAAUAUUAGUAAUUCAAAUAAAAUUAGGUGUAAUUGUUAUUCUAGGAUUGUAAUUUUAUUUUUCAUUAAUCAUUACUAUGAUCUAUAAAAUUAUUAUUAUUAUUAUUAUUAUUAUUAUUAGGCUGAUGGGAUUAAAAAAACACUCCAGGCACGUGGGCUUUUUUGGGGACGCUGGACAUGUGGGCUUAAAGGGAAAAAAAUGAUGUGGGCCAUGCUUGGCCCAUAUUAAAAAAAGUGGGCACGACCCACAGACCCUAGUGGGCCGAUGCUUGACGGGUUGUGGCGUGCGUUGGCCAUCAUUAGUUUUGGUAUUGAACAGCUUAAGGGUUGGAAAGAUGGAAGAAGAACAAGAAGAUCAAAAAAAAAGUUGCAGAAGAUCAUGAAUUAGUUUCAAGGGUAUAUUGGGCAUUAAGAUGGAUUUAUAAAGUAUAAUAUAAAAUUUGAAAUUUUAACAAGGGUUUAAUAAGUAAAGAGAUUUGAAUUUAAUUUGGUGGAUUCAAAUGUACUCAAGUAAACUUAAUUAUUUGACAUUAGUAUAUUAGUGCAUGGGAUAAUAAAAUUAUCAUGGUAAUUUUUAGAGUAUAAAUAGUGCUAUCCUUUUUUUAAACAGUAACUCUUGAAAUUGUCUGUUUAGUCUAUGGGAACAUGCUUGUUUGUGAAUGCCAAUUGACUUUAUAAAGGGAUAAACGGAGCAUCAUUAAUCUAUCCAAAAGAAGCGCAUAAGAUUUUUUAUAACAUUAUAUAUACGUGCUAAUAAAUGGAUGAGCACUUUGUUGACAAAUGGAUGAACGCAUUGUUAACGAGAUGAUAAGUUGUAAAUGUAGGACUUGAAAAAAAAAUCUUAAAGAAGUGUUGUGGUUAUAAUAGUCAUGAGUUUCUAAGACUUGAAAGGUUAUAGUCCGCGCACAUCUCCACUAGCUUCUCUUGGCCACCAAACUAACUAUUUGGUGCACAUGAAUUUACCAAUUGAUAAACUGUAAAAUCAGUACCGGCUAUGACUGACAUGAUCCGUCAUAAUUAUUUCUCGUCUCCGAAGAAUUAUUAGUAACUGUAAAAGGAAGUCUUCAAUGUGAAGAAUUAUUUGUGAAUAUUUGUUCUUGAGUUUGGUCCAUUGUUGUGUGAGAUGAAAUUAAAAAAAAAGGAAAAUAAGAAAAAAGAAGAACGAUGAGGAAGAAGACAGAGUUGAAAAAAAAAAGAUUUUUCUAUGAUACUGUAAGGAUUUUUACAGCAUUGAUAGUAGGAUUAAUGUGGACCAUCAGAUGUAAGAGUUUUAAUCUGAAUCAUUAAUUUAAUAUAAUAAAUAAUUAGAUAAUUAAUUAAAAUAUAACAGGUGAUCUACAGGUUGCGAGUAAACAUUAAUUUGUUAAUUUUAAAUUAAUAUUAAUUUAGAAAAAAGUCACUCACACCUCUAAGGUUUGCUUAAAUAAUCAUAUAGAUCCCUUUAAUUUCAUAAAUGGUCACACAGACUUUCUUAGUUUUAUAAAUGACUAUUAUACCUUUUGAUUAAAAUAAUCUUUUUUUAAUGAUGGAUUAAAAUAAUCUAAAUAAAUAUAAAUAUAGUAAUAAGAUAAAAAUAAUAAAUAAAUAUCAUAUGAUACAAAUAAAAUGUUAUAAUAAGUAUAGUUGAUAAAAUAACGUGUACAAUGAAAAUUUUGCUAAUAUUAAGUUAUUAUCAGUCUAUCUUGACAGAUUAACUAAAAUGUAUUAAUUCAAAAAUUUCUUUUAAGAUUGAUAUUAACGUAGACAUAAUUAAAUAAGAUAUUGUAAAAAAUAAUAUAAAUUUUAUAAAUCAUUGUGAAAUUAUUGUGAAUGUUAGGUAUAAUUAUUUAAUUUUAGUAGUAUGUCAAAAAGAUUUAAAUAUUAGUAAAAAUAAUAUGAAAAACUAAUAAUAAAAGAAUAUGAAAAAUAAAUAAUGUUAAAAUAAUUUUGUUAAUAUUGAAAAUAUUUUAUACUUAUUUAAUAUAUUAUAUUUUUUAAUUUAAGGAGUUAUGUAUGACCAUUUAAGUAAAAUUCAGAGGUGUGGGUAGUCUUUUCCCUAUUAAUUUUGUAGCCUAUUUAAAGUACUAUAUCAUUCUAUAUCAUACAUCGCACUUAAGAUGUUGAUUUUACUGAAGUGUUAUGUUAUUAAAAAUUAAACUUUGCAUUUAUAAUGUACUACAACUUUAAUGUAAAAUGUAAUAAAAAAUAUAAAGACAUUUUUGAGUAGUCAAUUUUAGCUUUCUUUUACAAAAUAGUAUUAUAAAAGACAAUUGGUAAAAUGUAAUAAAAAUGGCACGAGAAAAGGUUAGUAGAGGUGAUUUUCCUUGUAGUUAUUAAAACAUAUGAAGUAAUGGACACACACACAUAUUCAGUACUUCUAUUUACCCCUAUUUAUUAAUAGGUGGGAAAUUAAAGUCGUAAUUACCAUAAUGUAUUAUGAAUUGAUAUGUGAAAUAUAAAUAUUAACAAAAGCUAAUUUGUAGACUAAUAAAGUAAACCAUAUUUUAUGGGCACUAGAUACAUUAAUCUAAGGUCAAAUGAGAUAUAUCACAUGAUAUUUCAAACUGUAGUCCAAUUUUCAGCAUUUGCAUAUGGUUUUAUAAGCUAGUAAACCAAUAAAAUAUACCAUGAGAAAUCAAAGGCUAUUGCAUAUAUUGCACCACUGGAUAUAUAUAUAUAUAUAUAUAUAUAUAUAUACACAUAUAACUUCCAUUAAUCUUCCAUGGCCAUGCAUUAAAAUAAAAUAAUCUAACCGCACAGACUAUAUCCGAUUGAUAAAUUUUGAAAUUAUUUUGAUUACAUGAUAAUUGAAUUAUCUUAUAACACUAAGGAUAUGAAUUAAGUACUAUUUUAUCAAUUUUGAGUAUCGCAUUGAGUUUUCAAAUUAAUUAAAUGUUGAAACUCUUUCAUGUUUGGCCUGACAUUAUUACUUAAUAAAAUUACGAAAAACCAAUAAUGAAUGGUGAAGGAUAUAUAGUAAAAUAAACUUUAAAAUGUAAUUAAGUAUUCCCAUGAAUUUUGUGUAAUUAAACAAAAUAUGUUAUUUAAGUGAAAUUGUGAGAAUAUUUAAAAUUGUAGGGGUGGUCACUAAAAUUUCUCGGACUUGAGCAAACUACACGAUCCCACACGGUUUAUUUUGACAAAUACAACUUGUUAACCGCUGACUGUUGGUAGAAUAAGUUCCUAUCAACAAAACACAAUUCAAACUCAUAUUUGCAAGCAGCAAACAAUAUCUCAUCAAGGAAAAAAUUUGAGCAAACUACACGAUCCCACACGGUUUAUUUUAACAAAUACAACUUGUUAACCGCUGACUGUUGGUAGAAUAAGUUCCUAUCAACAAAACACAAUUCAAACUCAUAUUUGCAAGCAGCAAACAAUAGCUCAUCAAGGAACAAAUUUGAGUCGAGUUUUUGGUAAAUCAAUCUGAAUAAAUUUGAGUAGAGUUUUUUGUCAAUUAAUCAAGUUUUUGGGUUUUCAAAAAAUUUAUGUUCAAGGUAAAUCUGGGAGCUAUCAUUACAAGAAAGUAAUGGAUAUUGAUCAACAAAGUUAGUACUGUAUAUAUUCUUUGUAAUUUGAUAUUUAGAACUGUUAUGAUUAUUUUGUUGUUGAGUAGAGAGAUGGUUAUGUGGAGAUUUCAGCUAUGUAACUAUAUAAUGACCAAUGCUUUAAAAUCAAAUACUUGUUCGAUAAUUUGACAAAAAAAAAAAAAAACAUGUAGAAAUGUAAGAAAAAUGAGCAUGUAAUGUCUGGCAGUCGUGCUUCUAGGGGAAAGAGGCUGAAACAAAGAACUAAUACAUUUUUCAUUCAUAAAAUGUUGGGGCUUUUGUUUAGAAUAAAUUGAUGGGUGAUGGGUAAUGCGUGAUUUAUUUGCUUGUAACCAUUGUUUUUAUUGUAGUUUUUGACACAACUUAAAAGUAAUUUUUAACUCCCAAGUAUAAGAGUGUCUUGUUGUAUUAUAACUCGGUGAGUCCGAGGUCGAUCUACAGAGAAAAGAUUUAAUUAGUUUAUUUUACUUUAUCUAAAAAUUAAAAUUAAAACUUGAAUAUAAACAACUUAAUUUAAAUGAAACUAUGGAAUUGAACUAGUUAGGGUUAUGGAUCCACUCUUAGAAAUAAAUAAAACUUAAUAAAUUCUUUUUGCCAAUUUGUGUUAGAUUUAUUACUCAAAAGAUUAAUUAUACAAAUUAUUAUUAUUAUUUUCCCUUUAAUUUUAUGAUGGAUUAAGUAUUUAUUGUGCCAAAAUUUAAUUUGUCUACAAUAAGUCAAAAUACCAUUUCACCAUGCCUUAUAUUAAGAUCUUAAGAAUUUAUUGUGCCAAAUUCAUUUGUUUGUCUACAAUAAAUCAAAAUUUCAAAAUAUAAAACAUGUAUAAAAUUAAAUAGAAAAUAAUUUAAUUUAUAAAAUUAAAAAUAGAAUUUGAUUAAAUCAUAUUUAUUUCCUAAGAGUUUCACCUUCCCCCAACUAAUAUUAUUUAGUUAAGCAUAAUUAAAAUAAAAAGAAGUAGUAAAAUUGAAUUACUUAUAAUUAAAAGAAAUAAAAACAACUAAAAUUGGAAAUAAAACUAAUUUUAUUAAUGAAAAUAAUUAUACAAAAUAUUAAAAACACACCUGGAAAUCAAGAUUACAAGGAGAUGGAGAGAAUUUGAGAAGAAGAGAGUUGUAGAGAGAUGAUUAAAACAUAAAAAUGAGGCCCUAUUUAUAGAAAAAUAAAUUCAUAAUCCAGUGCUUUGCGGUCCAUCAUAAGCUUCAUGCAUGUGCUCCUCACAACCCUUAGAUCAAGAUCCAAUGGCUGGUCAAACUUCAAAAGUCAACAUCACACAUGGCAUCAUUUGACUCGUUCGAUUUGCCCAAAGAACGGUUGAGAUUUUGCGGGUUAAUGGGUGGAUCGGGUCGACCCGAAUACAAAGAUUCGGAUCCUCCAACUUGCUUCACCAACCAUUGCCACGUGGCACAAUCAUGGCCAUUGAAUCAUGAACGGUUGAGAUUUAGUCAAGAUUGCCAGUUAUCCCAUGCACUCAUAUCUAUUGUAAGCUCAUUUCAUCAUCCAAUCAGUGCUCGGUCAACAGGAAAAGUCAACUUUUUUUACACAAGCCCAAUUUUAAGCCGAUCUUGACUGAUCUUAAGGUUUUCGGACCUCCGGAAUCCAAAUUUGACCUCCGUUUAUCUGUUUGGAGCCUCGAAGUACGUGAAAUUAAUAUUUUUCCUAAUAAACACAUAAAAAUACACAAAAUUAAAUAUAUUUAAAACAUAAUUAAUAAUUCAUAAUAUAUUACAUAAACACAAAUAUAAAUUAUAACAUAAGCAUAAAAUAACAUAUUAUCGCUUGAUAAUUAAAUAAUUUUUAAUACUAAUCAAUUUUUAUUUUUGUAGUUGCUUUUUGUAGACAUGCACAGCCCCUGUUUGAUUUGAGUUUCCAGUUCUACAAAACAUUAAAUAAUAAAAUGCAUGCCUCUGUUAUGAAAUACUAUGCUUCAGUAAACAAAGGGAAGUUUGUCAAAUUCUGGAUUUCAAGUUGACGUUUUGGCACAAUCAAAAGAAUGGGGAAAGUGUUGCAAUUGCAAUUGUAUAGGUCUUAUCCAAUUUCUUUGGGAUGGGCCAAAAGAAUAGUACAGGAAAUAUCAAAGCACGUAGCAAAUUUGAGAUUGUGAGGCUAAAUGCAAUUGCAGUUUGUACCUAAUGAUUGUUUAGUUGAAUUUCUUUGUUUCCUAGUCUGGUUUGUCUUUUGUUGCUUUAUUGACUUGAUUGUAAUUGUUUCUAUUCUUGGGCUAUGAUCAUUAUUGUUUGCUGGAAAAGUAUUUCAAGUAAACUAAGUGUUUGAUUAAAAGUAUUUCAAGUAAAGUAACAACUAAAGUAACUUGUUCUGGUUUGUCUUUUUUUUUAAAUUUUUUUAAUAUCGAAUUAUUUUUCCUUCCACCAUCCAUAACAAGAUUCUAGUAAUUUUCUUAACUUCUAUGUUCUUAUUUUUCCUGUAUUGUUGUUUGACAAAGAAAUAUUUUUUUUCCUAGGUUUAAGUGUAUGAAAUU
RNAcentral lists this long non-coding RNA (59101 nucleotides) under Citrus x clementina. RNAcentral's name for it is "Citrus clementina (C. clementina) long non-coding RNA (CCLE_LNC005471)". The record is from RNAcentral. Lineage: Eukaryota; Viridiplantae; Streptophyta; Magnoliopsida; Sapindales; Rutaceae.